Molecule: long non-coding RNA, 64990 nt
Filed under: Triticum aestivum (bread wheat)
Lineage: Eukaryota; Viridiplantae; Streptophyta; Magnoliopsida; Poales; Poaceae
Description: long non-coding RNA (TAES_LNC026718)
Source: RNAcentral
UUUUUUAUGCCCGUUUCAAAAUGCGGUCAAAACGGCGGGCUUGACCGUUCCUAGCUAGUGGUUGAAUCUUGGAAUUUUUUUUUGGUGUUUCUAUGAUUAAAUAGAUACUUAUUUACCUAGAAAUGAUUUUUGGAAAAAAUAAAGAGCAAACUAUGAGGCAACUGCAGUUCACAUUUGACCCGCUUCCAACUGAAUUUACGGGAAUGUCUUUUUCACCAGAGGUGGAUCAAAAAUUUUGACACCCAACCAUUUUGUCAAUUGUGCAUUAUAUAUGGCUAGUAUUUUAUAAAAUUGAUUUGGUCCAUUUUUGCAACAAUUAUUUGGUAGUUCCUUCACAAAAAACCUCCUUUUGGACACUCGGAAAAUGAAAAAUGAAUUUUCCGUGCAAAGAAAAUGAAAACUUCCUUAGGCAACAUUGUUUGGAAUUCCAAUAUGUACCCUUGUGCACAAUAUGAGAUCAUUUGAACAAACUAUGCCAUAAAUGUGGCCAUAAGAUUGAUCAUUUGGCUUGAAAGCCAUGAAUCUUCACGCAUGAUAGCUCAUUUUUGAGAACACUUUUUUAAAAUAAUUUCUGUAUACAAGUUUAUUAUUUUUCCUGCAAACUUGGUCAUAUAUAAUGACACAAUGCGAAGGUUUUCCAAUUUUUUGAUUUUUUCUGAAUUUUUUAUGCCCGUUUCAAAAUGCGGUCAAAACGGCGGGAAUGACUGUUCCUAUCUAGUGGUUGAAUCUUGGAAUUUUUUUGGUGUUUCUCUGAUUAAAUAGAUACUUAUGUACCUAUAAAUGAUUUUUUGAAAAAAUAAAGAGCAAACUAUGAGGUAGCUGCAGUUCAAAUUUGACCCGCUUCCAACUAAAUCGGCGGAAAUUUGUCUUUUUCACCAGAGGUGGAUCAAAACUUUUUACACCCAACCAUUUGGUCAAUUGUGCAUUAAAUAUGGCAUAGUUUUUUAUAAAAUUGAUUUGGUCCAAUUUUUCAAUAAUUAUUUGAUAGGUUCUUCACAAAAAAACUUCAUUUGGGGCACUCGGAAAAUGAAAAAUGGCUCUUUUGUGCAAUGAAAGUGAAAACUCCCCAAAGCAACAUUGUUUGGAAUUCCAAGAUGCACCCUUGUGCACAAUAUGAGAUCAUUUGAACAAACUAUGCCAUGAAUGUGGCCAUAAGAUUGAUCAUUUGGCUUGAAAGUCAUGAAUCUUCACGCAUGAUGGCUCAUUUCUGAGUACACUUUUCUAAAAUACUUUCCGUAUUACAAGUUUAUUAUUUUUCCUGGAAACUUGGUUAUAUAUAAUGACACAAUGCGAAGGUUUUCCAAUUUUUUGAUUUUUUUGAAUUUUUUAUGCCCGUUUCAAAAUGCGGUCAAACGGCGGGCUUGACCGUUCCUAGCUAGUGGUUGAAUCUUGGAAAACUUUUGAUGUUUCUCUGAUUAAAUAGAUACUUAUGUACCUAGAAAUGAUUUUUGGAAAAAAUAAAGAGCAAAAUAAGAGGCACCUGCAGUUCAAAUUUGACCCGCUUCCAGCUAAAUCGGUGGAAAUUUGUCUUUUUCACCAGAGGUGGAUCAAAACUUUUUACACCAAACCAUUUGGUCAAUUGUUAUUAAAUAUGGCAUAGUUUUUUAUAAAUUUGAUUUGGUCCAAUUUUGCAACAAAUAUAUGGUAGGUCCUUCACAAAAAAAAACUCAUUUCGGCCACUCGGAAAAUGGAAAAUGAAUUUUCCGUGCAACAAAAUGAAAACUCCCUUAGGCAACAUUGUUUGCCAUUCCAAGAUGCACCCUUGUGCAAAAUAUGAGAUCAUUUGAACAAAAUCCCUUGAUUUGGUUCAAUUUUGCAACAUAGAUUUGUAGGCAUUUAUUUUUUUUCAGAAAUUUGGGUCCAAAUUUUGGAUAUUUGAGCGCGAGCCAGCCAACCAAUGAGAAGCGAGGAAUCACGUCCGCGCGGAUCACCAAGUUGGACACGAUCUGAGCCAUCCUUCACGCGCCCAUCCAAUGGUGGAUCUUCUCCAGCUGAAAGACCAAAACCCUAACCCACCUACCCACCCACCCUUUCCUUCUCCAGAUCCAAUCGAGGCUGCCGCGCCGUCCUCUCCCUUGUCGCGACCUAGUCUCCGCCACCGCCGCCAUCCCCACCCACCACCGCCGCCCCCACCCACCGCCGACCUCGUCUCCGCCAUCCCCCUCCCCUCGCCUUCAUCCGGCGUGCGUGCAUGCGUGCGUCCAACCGGCCCCAAAAAUGAAGACAAGAGGCUUGCUCCUCCUCGUCCCACCCAAUCGCCGCCGCCGCCGACCUCCUCCCUCUCCCCCAAUCCCAACCCCACCGGCGGCGAGCUCGUCUCCCCGAGGCCCAUCCUUUGCCCUCCACCCCACCGCUGGCGCCCUUAGUCUCUCCUUCAUCUCCCUACGCUCCAAAUCGGGGGGCCGCGGCCGUGCACCCAGAUCGAGAGGGGAGGCCGUGUCGCUCCUGCCGCGGCCGGAUCCAAGGCCAAGCCCGUGGGGUCCUGUUCGGGCUCCUCGCAGGGGCCACGGCGGCGGGAACCACAGCCACGGCGGGUCCGAACCCUAGCCGCCGCAGUGGGUCACUGGCACGACCCCCGCACCUCCGAUGGGCAACGACAGCAAGGGUCGCUCUACGCGGGCCUUCAUCAGCGCCAGCUUCACCACCGGGACCUGCAUCAGGGCAGGUAACCCCGCCAAUCCCCUUUCCUUGUGCUCUCUUGGUGAUGCAAAAUCCGAUUCUUCUUGGCCACUGAAACUCGAGCAGUUCUUCAGUUAGUCAGAAUGCACGCAUUAGAAACAACCUGAUUUUUAAAUUUAGAGCACACAUGUGGGCACUAGUUUGUGCGUAUCCCAGUAUCAGACCAUGAUUAGCACUAGGUGAAUUGUUCUCUUGGACUAUGGGUACUUCAUGUCUGCAGCAUGAAGGCUUUAUGACAUUUACCAGUUGCGCACCUACAAUUCUUCCCUUAGUAAUAUCGAUUUUGUUCUGUCUGUAGCAUGUCGUCUUCCUCCACGGGGGUCCUGGGCUGGCACUUUGCCCGGCAACUAUGGAUCUUCAAUCCGGAGUUCUACAGGAUCGUGUUGUUCGACCAGGUUGGUUUUGUUUUGAUCCCCUCAUGUGUCUAUUCACCGGUGUUCCUAGGAGACCGUGGUGCUUAAUCUGUGUGUGUUUGAUUGCAGAGAGGCACUGGAAGAGCACUCCCCAUGCUUGUUUAUAAGAGAACACCACCUGGGACUUGGUGGCUGACAUUGAGAAGGUCAGGCAGCACCUCGACAUUCCAGAGUGGCAGGCAACUGCAAAUACAUCUUCUUUUGUCGACUGCAACAUAUACCCAGCUGUAAAGAAACCACUUGAAAAAUAUAUUUAAGAGAGUCGGGCAGUUCGUGUAUAUUUUCUUGCAUUUGUGCAUAGCUAUUGAUCAUGAAUGUUGCAAUGCAAGUUAUUAAAAGAAUGAUGAUACCUCUUAAUGCCUUGUAUUUUCAGAAACUAGCUAGCUAGUCAAGCAUUUCUUUUUAAGUUUGAUACUAGUGUUAUUGUUGGAGAUAUAUAGUGGAAAACAACAUCCACAGUGGUAUAGAUUGUUCCAGUCCAUGAUAUGCUUAUUAUUGAAUUAGCUGGUCCUAAAGAAUGUUCCGCCUAAGCUUUGCUUAGUGGCUGGUCCCAUAUCCUGAAAAUUGCAAUGCAGGUGAAAAGAUUAAAUACCUCUUCAUGCUUGCAACGGUUUAUGCUGAAUUGUUUUUUUUGUAAUCUAUCUUGCUAUACUGGUUCCAAGUGCUUGAGUAGCAUCUCUAAGAUAACUCACUUGUGGUUAAUUAGUGGCUCUAUCAUUUGUGUUUGUGCAUUCUUUUUUCCUGGGCAUCAUCCAUGGUUGUCUAGUAGUCGACAUACUUCUGGUUCCAUUUAGUAUAUGAAGGUAGCAGCAGCUUAAGUUUAGUGGAGUUGUUGUUACUCAAUGCCUACUUCGUAACUUGUCUUUUUUGAAACAGAUUGCUUGCACCUCGUCGUGUGUAAUUAUUCGGUGUACGAGACCUACGGUAUAUACUCACCAGUACUAUCUACUGUGAUUGAGUAUUUAUUGCUGGUGCUUCGACUGCACUUCUAUAGUGAUACAUUCUGUACUACACUGCUAAUGCUUAUCCGAGUUCAUUGUUUUAUUUCCAUGGUAACUAAAUGUUGACAUAUUAGCUAAUUGUGUACCUAAAUAUGACCCAGGUACAGCGGCGCUGUUGGUUCCUUGAGGCCAGGUCGAGUUGAGGUAGGGGAUAGGAAGGUUGAGCCGCUCGGGUGCUGAUCAUGUACAACGCUGCUCUUUUCAGCAUCGACCCGACCAAACCAAUGAUGCAAGGCUUCUCCUGCUACUGCAGAUUACUUCUUCCACUAAUCACCUAGUGCUCCUAUUAGUGAGAUUCAUCUAGUAUUUUUUUUGCACAGCAUGCAAUGGUUUGGAGUAGUUGAUCAUGGCCUGAUGGAACCUUUAUGUCGCUAGCAUGUAUAUAUGUAGUACUACAGCAGCCAUAAGUAAUCCAUUUUAUUAAACGCAUUUUGCUAGCUUGUCCUCCCUAUCCCAAAUUCGUUGAUGCCAAAAUUAGCAAGCCAUUUUGCUCUGUUUCUCAAAUAUUUGCCAGCUGAUCCGCCUCAUGGUCUCUGCUUCAUUCUGUCUAUUAACUGGUCUUCUUGAUAUUUAGCAACCUUGAUGCCUCAUAUAACUACUUGUUGAACUAGAGAAUUGAUUUGACCACUUGAUCAAUGGUUUUCAUAACAGUCAAGUUUCAGCGUGUUUCCAGUUUGCACCCUUAGUCGUAGCUGACACUGAGAAGAUGUGUAUUUUUCUUCGUGUUGGCAUGCAAGUUGCACCUAACAUAUGGAAUACUUUGGAGCACUGCUUACUAAAUUAGUUGCUUGCAUGAUGCAUCAUAUCCAACUUCCCCAUGAAGUAUUCUGUUAUAGUAAUUCAGUUUUCUUCAUGCAUCUAUCUACUGGACGCAUCUACCACCGUGCAUGGUGGUUGCCUGUGUUGCUGGUUGUAAUGCUCGUUGCCACAAGUCUGGCGAACUGGUGAUAGCAUGUCUGCGUAGGCACAAGUUUUUUGUUUUUUGAGGGGUCGUACGCACAAGUUUAACUUGGAAAAAUGCUUGCUACUGCAGACAGUGACUGUUACGACUAUGCACAAGUUUAAUCUGGCUAGUUCAGUUGGUAUCUAGUCUAGAAUAAAUUAUUUUUCCCAUUUUUUGUUUCCUUGCUGGACAUGUCAUGGUACAAGUGCUGAUGCUGUUGUUUACUACACCCGCCGUAAAGAAAUAUAAGACCGUUUAGAUCACUACUUUAGUGAUCUAAAUUCUCUUAUAUUUCUUUACAAGAGAGGACAUGGUAUUAUUGCUAGCUAUAUAUAUGCCUGCUGCUGAUUGAUGCUCUUGUGGUUAGGAUUCUACACCUCGAAGUGAUGCUUUUGCAUUGCUUUCCUUCCUCAUGCACUUGCAAACUAUAUGCUAUUCCCUUUUUGAUUUGACCUCAAAAUUUCUGACUCCUCCUAUCCAUGUGCAACAGCGAUGCUUUGGAUUUCAUCCGUGCAGCAGAGGACAAGGGCUUCAUGGCCAACCAAGGUGCAUGGUGCUCACAAUCGACGAACGGAGGUUGUUCGACAUUGGCUACACAAACCACCACUGUGAGCUCCUCCCAUUGCUAUGCUACAACCAUGCUCUGUUUCAUGGGUCAGUUAGGAUUUUGAUGCUUUUAGCGCCGUGGUUGAGUCCUUGCUGACUGUUGUGUCGAUGAUCAAUUGCUGGUGCUUCAUAUGGCUAUUUGAUUUGCUGCUGCUAAUUAGUAGUAUUAGAGUGCCGCUGGUUUAUUAGGAUGUGGCUGAAACCAUUGGAUGGCCUUCCUGGACAUGUUAUCCAGAAUUAGUACUUGUCCCAUUUUCUGUUUACUUGCUGGACAUGCUAUGGUUCAAGUGUCGAUGAUGUCUAGUAGUAGUUUGCUAGCUAUAUACCUACUACUGAUUGAUGCUCUUUUGGUCUCCUGAUUGAUGCUCUUUUAGUCUCCUGGAAUCAUAUUAUACUAUAUCUAGUGUUCUUGUGGUUCUGUGAAGAUGCAUCACAAACAUCUAGGUCUUUAAAGUUGACUAAAUCUAUCGCUUUAUCAUAUAUUUGGCCCGUAAAUCUACAUUUCUAUGAGAUCUCUUUCAAUAUAUAAUUUUUUGAUAGUCCAGGAAUAAUCUAAUAAUCUAAUGCUGGUAGUUUAUGUGUUCACUCUUUUACAGGAGCUCCAGGUCUAUGGAAUUUGAAGUUUGAAGCCGUAUAGCACUACUCAGCAAAGAGUUGUCUCUAUGUUUGACUGUAAUAGACUGUAAAUAAUGUAAUAUUGUAAUAGUAGGCAUAUUGGGGUUGUAAUAGACUAUCUACAGAUUGUAGUAGACGUAGUGUUACUUGAUGAACAAUCUGAUGAGUGAGAACAAUUUAAGAUGCACCUUUGUAAUAUUGUAACAGGUUGUAAAAGACUAGUGUAUGUUUGAAAUAGUGAUUAUGUAUGUUGAAAAGAUGUGAAAUGGAAACUUGACCAGUGGGAACCACUUGUGAAUAAAAUCUAAGCAUUUUUGAAAUUUCUGACAUGUGGGACCGAUGUAUGGCAUUAUGACUAGUGGGACCAGUGCUAAAAUAUAAUGAUUGAAAAUAGAAAAUAAAUGAUUGUAAGAAGGCCAAGGCCCAAAAAUAAAGGCGCUGAAAUAUUGUGCUUGGCCCAUGUAGCCCACAAGAAUUGACUUGGAAAAAAUCUAGAAUUGUUGGGCUCGACCCAUGUAGAAAACCGAAUUGGACCGGGCUGAAUCUUGUGCCACAUCAGCUUGCCAUGCUGGAUGCCUACGUGGACUGGGGAGGCUGCUAGUGACCAAAACGCCACAGUAGGAAUAUUUUGGUCAUAAACAUCCACGACCUUCUCACAGAGAAGGUCGCUAUAGUCAGUUUAUGACCCUCAGCUUUUGACCUUCUGUUUUUGGUCACAAAAAGGUCGCAAAUGAAAAACUAUGACCUUUCAGUGACCAAUAGUGGAGGUCACAAGAUAGCAUAUUUCUUGUAGUGUGGGGAAAGUAGUGGGAAACGUUGUAUAGCAUGAAUCUAGGACGUGGUCCAAAGAGGAAAGGAAGGGGGAAAGUAGUAUCGCAUGAAUCUAAGACAUGGUUCAAAGAGGAAAGUAAUGGGGGAAAGUAGUGGGGAAAGUUGUAUAGUAUAAAUCUAGGACGUGGUUCAAAGAGGAAAGGAAGGGGGGAAGUACUACUACAAACUGGCUAUCCAGCACCUAUGUUGGUCGAAAAGGGAAAACAAUGACAAACGUAGUACACACAUCUGUAACGAACUGAUCUUUUGUUUUGGGGGAAAAGGUUGUAGAGUUUGAGUAGGACUAGAUUUGCUGCGCUCACAUAGUGAAAGGUGUCUAAAGAUAACAAAACUGGGACCAACACAGAUAUGCUCCUUGCUUGUUUGUUCUUUGUUGCAACGGACUGUGCAUCACCCCAGUACAUCGGUAGAUGCACAUGGUGCUAGUGCGUCCAUUGUCCCGUGCAACUCUUUAGCUGUUGUUAAUCUAAGGCCCUAUUUGGUUAAAAACUCCCUAGUCCCUACCUGCUUGGUUCUAGGGACUAAACAUGGACUAGAGGUUAUUAAAUGACAUGCUAAAAGACCAUGUUACCCCUAGUAAUGAACUAAUAUAGACAAGGUGCGAUGCGUGGCAGGGGCAACUAUUGGAAAAAGUCCCAAAAAGACUCUCCCUCGGGGUCUUCUUUCUUUAGUCCCAAAUGCCCACUUUUAGUCCCUAAAAGUCUGUCCUGUUUGGUUUAGAUGGGACUGACACAGAGUUUUUUUAGUCCCUACACCAAAAUGUCCCCGUAAACAAACACCCUCUAAUAAUGCCGCUAGAAAAUUGAUGCAAUGCCACAGUUAAAAGCAAAUUACAUGUUUAACGAAUUUUAUUGUUCAUAUAAUCUCUAUGUUAAUAUUAAUCAAUGCCACCGUUUGAGAAAUGCUCCUGUCUUGCUUUCUUUCCCAUUUAGAUAAGGUAGAUGCUUCUUUUUGUUGGCUUCUGUGUCAUCCACCGUUAUUGACCACUAGUUGUUUCCUUUGCACCUCUGUGUAAACAGGGUUAUCUACUUCACCUCGUUGCCAUUGUGACCUUUUAUUGCACUGCACAAUACACUUUUGUUUUAAGAAUGUUUUGUGCAGUUUAACCAAAAUGUCACACCGACAACGUUGCUUCAUUGCUUGAUCUUAGUGGAACUGCACAAGAGGAGAUCUUACUUCCUAUCCGUGUUGGCAAAUUUGGUUCAGAUCUUCUUCUUGUGAGUUGUUUGAAUUCUGCAUCAUGAGAGGUCAGUACUAGCCUUCUUUCACAUGAUUCUAUAGUGUGCUUUCAUAUGUUGUGCUACUUGUACGGUAAUGUUGCUUGAUUUUAGUGAACUGCACAAAUGGAGACAAGACUUCCAAUCUGUAUGUGCACCGUAAUAUCCCAUUGAGGUAAGAUAAGGAUAUUUCACAACUGUUGGCUUGUAUUUUGCCACUUUCAUCAGAAAAUUAAUGUCAUUGUUUAGUGUUAUACUUGUGAUCCCUAAUUGACAUGCCAAAUCUUACAUUGAAGGCGAAGCUUGUCUGUUAUUGAACCAAGUGAUGAAGGGGAAGAACAAGCGGAAGAAAAACAAAAAUCAACUCCCGGUGCUGUAAUGAAGCACUAGAACUGUGAUGACACAAGUAAUGAUAUAGUUUUGCAUCUUAAUUUAUUGCUAUGGCUGGAAUGAGCAAUUGUUUUGCCACUGAUUUGAUGCCACUCUUAAUUAUGUAAUAUGUAAUUGUCUCUACUUGUGCAAGCAGGGAUCUUCUUUGAAGAUACCAUAUAUUUUAGUGGAACUUCACAAGAAAAUGUUGGAAACAUUAAACUAAUCGAGGAGUAUAUUGUAAGCAUGGCCACCACAGUAGAUUGCAACAGAUGGUUCCGGAGAAGUGCUUCAUCUGUAUGCUCUACACAAUAAGCCUCCUGACAAAGGUUGGUACUCGCCCACUGAUUUCAUCCAUAUGAUUGAGCUUUGUCAUCUCUAUUGGUGUUGUGCUACUGUUUAGAUACUGUCAUGAAAAAGUGGUAUUGUCCUUGAGAAGUGCUUCAUCUAUGCUGUUUUAAAUAUUUCCUUUCCUUUUUUUCGAGCAAACAGGGAUGCUAGCAUUUAGUUGUCCUCUUGUCUUUGCACAAUAGGAUCCUCCUCCUCUGAAGAAGAAUAUGGAGUACGUGAAGUGACUAGUUCCGAUUAUUCCAGGAUGAAGAAGCCCUGUCUAUCUUCACAUUAGAAGGAGCAGUUGAAGGAUGGUUACAUUACUUCCCACAAGACCAAACUAGCUUCAGCUCAGAAGGACUCACAAAUCUCCAUUGUCUUGCUGUGAUGCGCGAGUACAAUGUUGUUCUAGGAUUCUUUCCGGUGAGUUCCAUUUUUCUAAAAGUGUGCUCUACAUGGACCAUGUAGGUGCCUGUUUAAACUGUCAAUUCAUAGUACAAUUUUCUUUAUACUAAUCACUUUUUUUGUAUUUGUGCAAACAGGGGUGCUCAGCUUGAUUUCAAUGGGAACUGCACAAAAUGUUCAUGAAUACAUUGAAUCAUUCAUUUCCACCACAAGAAAGGAGGUGCCGAUAAGUUCAAGGUGUUGCAACAUAAAAGGGCGAAAUCAUACAAACUACGCGCGAAUUUUGUUGAUUUUGGUGGAACUGCACAAAAAGAACAGUUGGUUUAUUUAGCACGAGGUGCCAUGUCAAUGUCCGAACUGAUGGCAAACCCUUCCCAUUCCACAAUCGUAGGCAUUUGAUAUUUUGGAAUGGGACAACCUUGUCAAAUUUUGCUCAUUGGUUUUAGCAAGAAGACAUGUGUUUGAUAUUUUCGAAUAGGAUGCCCUUUGCUGUUAGCAGCGUCGAUCAAUUUUUUUAUUUAUUCUUUAGUUGUGAAGUAAAUAUUAGCUCUGACAUGUGCAUCGCUGAGAUGCAUAAUCAUUGAUUGUGUUGAAUGUUCUCUAUGAAUUGCCAGGCCUGUGUGUUUGAUUGCAAUAUACAGAAACGCUAAAAAGCUGCUCAAACUCUUUGUACUCCUUCUGUUCCUUUUUACUUUGCACAUUGUGAAGUGCAUACUUUUUUUAUAAGAUUGGUCAAAGUAGAGAUACUUUGACUACAGACAAAACUUGUAUCCAGACUAGAAAGGACCGGAGGGAGUACAUGUGAAACUGCUACAAACGAGGUGAUCACCCUGGGAAUAAUGCUAGUACGUAUUGUUUUGCAUGUUCAUCCAAUGCCAGUGAUACAAGAAUUCGAACUAAUCGAAAUAAAUUCAUUCAUACAUGGUCGGAUUUCAUAUAAACAUGCCAGAUUUCAUUACAUUUCAUACAUUCCUCAACUAAAAAGGGGUGCGCUGGAGGUAUAAUUAAUUAACCAAAGCUAACCACCUGUGUCCAGAUGAGCCGAACAGAAGCUUUAGUGACUUAACUGCAGGUAUAGUUGCGUAAUUGACAUGUGGCCUGUUGGGCCCAUGUGUCAGUCAGCCAACUGCACCAACAGUUAAGUAGAAGUAGCGUCCUUCUCCAACACAGCUCUUUGACUCCACGUCGCCGCCAAGAAGCUAACCGGUCGUCAAUGGUCAACCCGCCUAGCUUGGCUUCAACCGGAGGGUAGCAGCGGUGGCCUUACUUGGACCCGAGCGGCGACGACCUGCCGUGUUCUACUCUUCCUCGUUUUCUGUGUGGCGCGGCCUCGUUGGCAGUGGGGCGGGGCCUCGGUGGAGCUGGCGAUGUCCUUUGUCUCGUUGCAGGCGGGCGGUGCCUCGGCGGAGCGGUGGAAAUCCUCCCCCUUGUUGCUGGCAGGGUGGGGCCUCGGCUGAGCCGGCGAUGUCCUCUGCAUCGUUGUUGGCGGGGCGGGGCCUCGGUGGAGCCGGCGGUGUCCUCUGCCUCAUUGUUGGCAUCGUGGGGCCUCGGUGGAGCAGGGCCUCGUCAACGCCAGCGGAGCGAGGACUCGUCGGAGCCAGCAUUGUCCUCUGCCUCGUCCUCGGUCUCGCCAAACAGCGCCUCGCCCGCUUCAUCGCCCUCUUUGUAGGCGGCCGCAGGCUCUGCCACCCCCAUGCGGUACCGCCAGCGCUCGAGGUGGCCUUCGCGGGCGGAUCGGUACGAGUCGCGCAUCGCCUCCUGCUCCGCCCGCUCCGCGGUGAUCUGAUCCUCCGCCUGUAGGUGCUCCUGGAGGAGAUGGUGGUUGUAGGCGGCGUCGGCCUGCGCCUCCCGGAACUGCUCCUCACGCUUCUACCUCACCGUGUCCAUAUAUUGGGCACGGGCCAUGCCGAUGGUCAUGGUGCAAUGCACCGGCGAGGAUGGCGCGGAGGAGGGGGUUGGCACAAGAUCGUCGACUACCAUGUUCUCCAUUGGGACGUCGUCGUCCUCCGGCUGCCUGCCGGCCAGCCAGUCGGCAGCAAUGGCUGCCAUCUCCUUGUGGUCCGUCGUCCGCCCGUCCCGAAGAGCACUGGAGCGCGAGGAAGCCAUGGUGGGCAGUAGUGGUGUUGACAGGAGAAAGGGAAUUGACUGCGGCUACGGCCGACGCAACAGUUUAUAUAGCAAUGGUGGGUGACGAAGGGACGGACAUGUGGCGCUGGAGUAGCCACCUCGGCAACCGCGUAUCAUUAAUGUGGGCGGCAAACGGACGGACAGACGACACUUGUGUCGUUUGAAGGCGGAGCAAUCGCCAGCAUUGGGGAGCGGUGUGGACGACGCUGACCGUUUCGGGCAGAAAGCGCACACAGGCGAGGAGAAGACUUUACUUGGAGAGGAUGACAGUGGGGACAAACCAGGGACAUAGCCUCACGUAUGCAAGUGCCUCCUUAUUAUAUAAAACUAUAAUUUUUUUCCUUCCUCCUGGUUUCCUGAUAUCACGGUUCCACACCAUUGUCAACCUAUGUAGUCAAUAAAUGAGAGAAUUGCACAAGAAGCGGCCAACAGCUGGGACCAAGCAGCUCAAGCAGUAUUUGUGUUUUUGAGGUGUGAGAACUGUAGAGUUUUUAUUGAGCGAUGUUUAUCCAAGAUAUUAAUUUUUCUCCUCUGAACAACAUCAAAAACAUCACUGCAUGUAUUAACUGGGUGGGUUGUGGCCCGUCUAGCCCAGGCCAGAUAUCCAGCCUAGAUAUUAUUUUUUUCAAGCUGAAAAUGGCUAGCCCAUCUAUACUUUCUUUAGGAAUACCCCGGCAAGGUCAAGUUGUUAUUCUCGGCCCCGCUGGGCUGCAAAUCUUUCGUAGGAGGGAUGCAUUAGGCUUAACAAGAAAAUGGGCUUUAAGAAAUAAUAAAUGGUAUGUAAUUAUAAAAACUGGGCAGUAACUAUAAAAAAUUGCACCAAACACGUAAUUACUUUAUAAAAUAUUAUUUUUAGAUAUUGAAAAUUUUAAUUUCAUUAAUUGUUGCGAGCGCAAGGUUUCGUUGGAUUUUUACAUAAUAUAAAUUUAUAUUGAAAUUGUAUUUAAUCUUACUAUAAAUUUCGGGAUAAAAAUAUUCCGGAUCCCAUCAAAACAAACUGUAAAUGGGCUGUAGUAAAUUCCAUUAGAAUUCAAAACGGGGCUGCACAUUCUUACAAAUCUCAAAUGGGCUAUAAGUUCUCUGCCACACACUUGUGGCCUUACGAAGUUGACGCGUCCCUUCGAAAAAAAGAGUUGAUGCGUAUGCAAGGCUUUGUCAACUUAUAGGCAACACAAGGUUCUAGCAGCAGUGGCCGUUGGAUAUCCAUCCAACCGAUGCCCUACUUCUUCUUCAAUCUUAGAUAUUCUAGCUUCACCCGCCCAAAAAAUGAUUCCUCCCCCUGACAUCUGGGGUGCACCGUUUCAGAAGCUGACUUGUGGGCCUACUAAGUUGACGCGUACUAAGGGCUUUGUCAACUUAGUCAAUAUAAACGAUUCUAGCUACACUGACCGUACGAUGUCCAUCCAACGGCUGUCGUGCUUCUUCAACCUCCGGUCUUCUUGCUCCAGCCGCCCAAAGCAGCGCUGGUCGUGUCGCCUGCUCCUGCCUCCCGUGGUCGGUUGUGCUGAUGCGGAGGCCUCACCGCCCCGUACUACUCCUACCGCUAGCCAGGCCAUCCCUCCACUCACCCGCACCCCCUGUUAUUCUGCGGCGACGGCAGCCUCACACCGCAGCCGAACCAGUGAACCCUCAUACUCCUCUCCGCAUGGGCAUCCACUGUCGCGUCUUCUCCGGCUCUGCGUCGUCCCCUUCCUAGGCCUCACCGUCGUCCACCACCGUGGUGCUCUCGAUGCGGCGUGGUCAACGUGGUCAGGGAACGACUUCCAUCAGACGUGGACUGUACCUGGAGAGGCUGACAGCUGAGUCCACGGCCACAGCAAGGAAGUGCCUCCUUAUUACGCAGGAAAUAAUGAUUCUUCCACCUGACAGCAGGGACCCACCGGACGGGCCAUUGAAUUUCACGAAAAAAAUGUUUCCACCCUGACUGCUGGGACCUACCAGCUACAUCUUCACACACAAGGAAGUGCGUCCGGGUAAAAAAAACGAUUCACCCCCCUGACAGCCGGGACCCACCAGCUACAUCUUUGCACGCAAGGAAGUGCGUGACAGUCGGGACCCACCUGGUCAAAGCGUACGUAGCAUUGUCAUUAUGGUCGUGAACAUGUACGUACAUACUGGUCAAUGUAGAGGCGUGCAUGUGUCGUAGUAGAGGCGCGCACGUGUCGUAGUAGAGGCGCGCACGUAGCAUGUACACAUACUACGUACAAUUGCCAGGGUGCAAGAAAGUAAAUACGGCCAUGUACAUACAUACGGGUGGGGUCUCGAACGCCUACUCGCGCAUACGUACGGCCAGGGCUCGUGUACAUGGCUGGGUCAGAACGGAGAAACAGCGUCGUCGUCGUGUUCAUGGGGAGCCAACCGGCUGGGUCGGAGCGGAAUGCGUCGUCGUGUUCAUCGGGAGGGCUUGGAAGGAACAGGCAAUGGAAACGAGGUCUGGCGUACCGUAGAACGGAGGAAACGGCCUUGUGUUCGACCGACCAUGUUCAAAACGGGAUCCUGUUCAUCGGGAGGGGUCUGGCGUACCGCAAAAUGGAGGAAACAGACUUGUGUUGGACCUCCUACGGUCGAAACGGGAUCCUAUUGAUCGGGAGGGGUGUGGCGUACCGCAAACCGGAGGAAACGGACUUGUGUUGGAGCGCUACGGUCGAAACGGGGGUCCUGUUCAUCGGGAGGGGUGCCGCAUACCGCAAAACAGGACUCCACGGGAUACUGUUCAUCUCCACCGUCGACCUCCUCCAGCCUCCACGGUCUAAUGUUCAUCCACCGUCGACCUCCUCCAGCCUCCACAUGCGACUGUUCAUCCACGGGCUCCUGUUCAUCCAGCCUCCACCGCAUGCUACUCCACCGGCUACUGUUCAAUCACCCAUCUCCACGGGCUCCUGUUCAACCACCCCUCCACGGGCUACUGUUCAUCCACCCCUCCACCGUCUACUGUUCAUCCAGCCCUCCACGGNNNNNNNNNNNNNNNNNNNNNNNNNNNNNNNNNNNNNNNNNNNNNNNNNNNNNNNNNNNNNNNNNNNNNNNNNNNNNNNNNNNNNNNNNNNNNNNNNNNNNNNNNNNNNNNNNNNNNNNNNNNNNNNNNNNNNNNNNNNNNNNNNNNNNNNNNNNNNNNNNNNNNNNNNNNNNNNNNNNNNNNNNNNNNNNNNNNNNNNNNNNNNNNNNNNNNNNNNNNNNNNNNNNNNNNNNNNNNNNNNNNNNNNNNNNNNNNNNNNNNNNNNNNNNNNNNNNNNNNNNNNNNNNNNNNNNNNNNNNNNNNNNNNNNNNNNNNNNNNNNNNNNNNNNNNNNNNNNNNNNNNNNNNNNNNNNNNNNNNNNNNNNNNNNNNNNNNNNNNNNNNNNNNNNNNNNNNNNNNNNNNNNNNNNNNNNNNNNNNNNNNNNNNNNNNNNNNNNNNNNNNNNNNNNNNNNNNNNNNNNNNNNNNNNNNNNNNNNAGCAGCAGUAGCAAAGGAAUUGCUCGAUCGGGUUCAGUUAACAGCCAUUGAUCGAUCGCUCGGGUUCAGUAACGCGUAGCCUGCAGUUGCAAUCGCUCGAGUUCAGUUAGAGCCCAACGCCUCCCUCGGGUUCAGUUAGAGCCAACGCCUCGCACACACGCGCGUACAUGUACGAGAGAAACGCGCACCUCUCGGCCACCGACCACCCACCGUAACCGGGAACUCCCCGAUAUUUUCCUCGCCCUCGCUUCUACCAUGUUUUUUUCCGUCAUGGACGGCCUAAAGAAUGUCAUGCAGCUGCGUCUCCGGCCCGCCCAGCAUGAAAAGCCCAUUUUCUGUCAUGAAUAUCUGUCAUAGAAGUAGGAGCCCACCACAUCUAUGAUGAUACCGGAUUUUGUCACAAUUAUCGUCAUAGAAGUGUCAUAAGUAUGACAGGAAAAAAAUUCGUUCGGCCCAAAAUGUCACGGAUGUGUCUUUUUUUGUAGUGAAGGAUGCUGCAGCCCUCCCACCCUCCCUCUAUUUAUAGGGUGAAGGGGAGAGGGGGCCGGCCCCUCUAGAUCCCAUCUAGAGGGGGAGGGGGCCAGGAGGGGGAAACUUGCCCCCCAAGCAAGGUGGAGGCGGCCCCUCCCCUAGGGUUUCCAAACCAUAGGCGCCUUGGGCCCUUGGGGGGCGCACCAGCCCACUAGGGGGCUGGUUCCCUCCCAUAUUCAGCCCAUUAAGUCCCCCGGGGCAGGUGGCCCCGCCCGGUGGACCUCCGGACACCUUUCGGUGGUCCCGAUACAAUACCGAUAACCCCCGAAACCAUUCCGGCGACUGAAACUGGACUUCCCAUAUAUAAAUCUUCACCUUCGGACCAUUCCGGAACUCCUCGUGACGUCUGGGAUCUCAUCCGGGACUCCAAAAAACCUUCAGUAACCACAUACAAUUUCCCAUAACAACUCUAGUGUCAUCGAACCUUAAGUGUGUAGACUCUACGGGUUCGGGAAUCAUGCAGACAUGACCGAGACGUUCUCCAGCCAAUAACCAACAGCGGGAUCUGGAUACCCAUGUUGGCUCCCACAUGUUCCAUGAUGAUCUCAUCGGAUGAAGCAGGAUGUUGGGGAUUUAAUCAAUCCCGUAUACAAUUCCCUUUUGUCCACUGGUAUGUUACUUGUCUGAGAUUCGAUCGUCGGUAUCCCAAUACCUCGUUCAAUCUCGUUACCGGCAAGUCUCUUUACUCGUUCCGUAACGCAUGAUCCCGUGACUAACUCCUUAGUCACAUUGAGCUCAUUAUGAUGAUGCAUUACCGAGUGGGCCCAGAGAUACCUCUCAGUCAUACGGAGUGACAAAUCCCAGUCUCGAUUCGUACCAACCCAACAGAAACUUUCGGAGAUACCUGUAGUGCACCUUUAUGCCACCCAGUUAUGUUGUGACGUUUGGUACACCCAAAGCAUUCCUACGGUAUCCGAGAGUUGCACAAUCUCAUGGUCUAAGGAAAUGAUACUUGACAUUAGAAAAGCUCUUAGCAAACAAACUACACGAUCUUGUGCUAUGCUUAGGAUUGGGUCUUGUCCAUAACAUCAUUCUCCUAAUGAUGUGAUCCCGUUAUUAAUGACAUCCAAUGUCCAUGGACAUGAAAGAGAAAAGUAUACUUCCAACAGAUCUUGCCAACGCAGUAUUAGAAAAAGAUUCCACGGUCUACAUAAAUCCCACAUCUAAGGGCUAAAUAAGCCUAGACGUGGGGGCAGGGGUGUUGAAAUAUAUUGCUCGCUUUUCUCCACCAGUUCAGACUUCUGGAUGACUUGGCUGGAGCAUGAAUUUAAUAGUUGCCGCAUCGGUGGCAAUAAGAGUAGGAGGAGGGAGGGAGGAGGUGGUGGAGAGCCCAAGAGGUCCUCACCACUGCCAUUUGUGUUGUGAUUUGAGUGCAUCAUCUGUUAACUUCAUUGAAUUUGAUUUGUAGUAGGGCUCUUUGUGAUUACUGACUAAGCAGGAUAACUAAUUGAUGGUACUAGACAGGGAUUUUUCUAAGAAAUUUCCAAGUGUCAAUAGUCAACAAUUUACUGCCAUCGUCCAAAUGCUACGCCCACUAGCAAUGUAUUGUUGCCAAAAACUGUGUGAUAGAGAUGGACUUGCUUUCUACGGAUUCUUGACACCAGGGUCCUCCAUCGUGAACACGCCGCCGUGAUGGAAUGAGGCCACAUACAGCGAACCGAGGGCUUUAAGGCGGCGUCUUCAGAAAGGUUACGACAUCAGAGCGCCGCCACCGUCUGACCCGAGGGUCAGAGUUUCCCCUGAAGCAACACGACGGGCAAUUAGAGCCAAGACGACACCUUCAAAAAGGGAACGAUGUUCGUCGCCCUCGGCCGUCCAAAAAUAGAUCAGGUUUUCACCCCGGCCAACACUCACCGCCACCGAGCGCCGCACCUCGGCGACCAUGCCGCCCACACGGCCAUGGCCACCGGGCAGCACCAAGCCGCGGGCUCUGCCCAAGAGCACCGCGGUACCACCACCAGGGUCGUCGCCCCGGCAACCAAGACCUUGACACCACCUUGCCCGAGCCUAGCCGCUAUCCCCACCAAAGAUACGAGCGGACGCCGCAUCUCUAGGCGGGCCCCAGUGCCGGGACCAAAUAAGCCGGCCAAAACUGGCAUCCAUCAACCCGUCCUGCCGCACCGGGGCGCGAGACAAAUUCGGUCCUGCUACUGGGCGUGAGACAAGCUCCGUGUGUAGCCAAAAAUUGUGUGAUUACGAGAAACCGUGUGCUACAGCAGUGGAAUCUUUUCUACUUGCAGACCUUUCCGUUCAAUAAUGUUGAUUGUGAUAGCUUUCGUUGUAAACUUUGCUGCUAGAUUACGUAGCUCCAUUCCUUCCUCAUAUACUCCUUGUUGCUACAGGCACAUCUGGAUACCUGAGCUGGAGGCUUGGAUGCCUUGCUGAUUGGCCUAUUAUACUGUCAACUAUGGUUGCCAAGAUGCACCUCACGCCAAAACAAGACGUCGCCGCUGCUCAAAGUUUGGCCACCAAAAAGUCAAUAAUUUUCUCGAAACCUUUUGACAUCAUUGGUACAAGACCCGUCUGCGAUGGAGGAACAUAUUUCAAACCCAAAUUCAGCAACGCGUGGAUUGAACUCAGAUCUCGAACUUGGUGGCGUGGUAGAUGUAUAUUGCAUUGAAAUGUGAUGUUGUGAAUAUUUUGCAGACUUUUUUUGUGACUCUCUGAUAACCCGGUUAUUCGUCUUGUGUGAAUUGUAAUUGUGAGCGUCUGAUUAAUUGGUAGCACUAGUUUGAUGUACAAUUUUUCUGCUGAGUGUCACUUUAUCUUGCACAACCUCUUACAGGAGUCGUGGCUUUGCUCAUUCCUUCUGGCACUGUAUUUCAUUGUAAUUGUUUUGCUCACUUGUGUGUGAGUAAACAACAGAAUGCUUGGCUUAACUAGACACCGGAUUUCCAUUGUAAAUUUUUCUGGUCUAAAUUUAUCUUUUCAAAUGGUGCGCGACAUGGAGCACCUCUUUGGGGACGUGCCGUGAGGAAUCGUGUAUUAGCUUAGAUUGCUAGAGUAGGAAGUCCCUAUGCUGGCUGUAUUUCUCAAAUUCUUUCACCCCUGAUCACCAUCAACACUUGUUUUCUGCCUUCUAUCUGCUAAUGAAAUGAGUGUCAGCACAAGCUGGAUCUUUCAAAAGAAAAGAAAAUGGCGCGCGACUACAUAUCCUUCAGGCCGACCAGAUUCCAAGGGGGCGAAAGUUGCAUUUUGAACACACUGAGCGCAGACUCCCAGCAAAAAGUGUAAAUACUGAGUGCAGACCCCAUCAUAAGACUGCCCGCAGCGGGGUGCUUCCAAUGGGGUGGGGCUCAACGUUAAGGGCAUGUACAAUUAUGCUAUCUUAGGAGCGGGCAUGUAGGAUAAAUGUUAAGGUAGAGGAAAGAGUAAUCAUAAUAAAAGUCUUGUCUUCUCUUAUUUCAAAGAUGAUCUUUUAGCACAAUAUAUGUUUCAUCAUAUUUUUACGAAUAACUAAUUAUUGAAGAUAUGGCUAAGAGAUAGCCCAUUGUAGCACCAUCUUUAAAUUACAUGCAAAGCGUAAGAUAAGAAUGUCUUAUCAAUCACUGUACAUGCUCUAACAAACCGAGCAGAAAAAAGAAAACAAAAGGCAAACUCUUCCUAUCCAUCGUCCGAUGGGGAGGAUCAUUCAGUACGAGUCCACGUUUAUUUUGUUUCCUUGGCCAGUUGGAUGCAAGAGAUCAAUCAUCGUACGGUAUACAUACAUAUCUCCGAUCGGGCCUAAGAAAUCCAACAUUGCUUUUACGGUACGGUACGUCUUCGAUCUCCGUUCCUCGUACGUCCCGCCGCCAUGAGCGAGAGCGAGGGCAGCUCGACGGCCUCCGUGAUGGACGACGAGGACCUCCUGUGGGAGAUCCUCCUCCGCCUCCCGCCACAACCGUCUUCCCUCCCGCGCGCCUCCGCGGUCUGCAAGCGAUGGCGGCGCAUGGCCACAGACCCCAGCUUCCUCCGCAGCUUCUACACACACCACAAGAAACCGCCCCUCCUAGGCUUCUUUGAGUACCACCGUGACAAUAUUGUGUUCACCUCCAUCCUCGAUGCUCCUGAUCGCAUCCCUCGUGAGCGUUUUAACAUCGGACGCUGCAUCACCUCCUCAGAGAGCUAUGUACUUGGCUGCCGCCACGGUCGCGUCCUCGUGAUUGAUCAUGUGCGCACAGAGCUCAUUGUGUGCACCCCUAUCACUGGCGAGCAGCGGCGCUUGGCCGUUCCUCCCGAGUUUAAAACAGUCCUCCGUACUUGCAUCAACGGGGCGGUUCUCUGCGCUGCUAACGACCAGGGCCAUGUGCACGGCGGCUGUCACUCCAGCCCCUUUAAGGUGGUCUUGGUGAUCAUGUAUAGAGACGAACGUCAAGCCCUCGCAUGUGUCUACUCCUCGGAUACCAAUGCAUGGGGCAACCUCAUCUCAACAGCUGCCCCAUGUCGGCUUUUUAAUGCCCAUAGACCUGGGUCACUUAUUGGUAAUGCAUUCUACUGGUUGACUAUGAGGAAUGACAUGCUUGUGUUUGAUUUGGUAGAGCAAAGUCUAGCUGUGCUUAGUGGGCCACCGGUUAAAAAUCUUUUCGUCCAUAGUCAGGUCAUCCAAGUUGAGGAUGGUGUUGUUGGCUUUGUCGUAUUAUCUUAUCCACAGUUUCAAAUAUGGCAGAGGAAACUCAAUGAUCAUGGUGUUGCCACAUGGGUGGAGUGGAAGACCAUUGGAAUGCAUAAUAUUCUUGCCCUCCCUCCUCAGAUUGUCAGAGGCGCUGAAACAAUACUAGGAUAUUCAGAGGAUGCUGAUGUGUUUUUUAUAUAUGUGGACGUCAAGUUCUAUAUGGUUCAGUUUAGGUCAAUGCAAUCCAAGAUACUUGAUGAAGCAUAUUAUAUCACUGACUACCAUCCUUUCACAGGGUUUUAUUCACCAGGUAACUGUUCAUACUCAGUAUUUCUAUCGUAGUAGUAACCCAAUUCAAUUAUUUUUUCUACAUGGCUCAAACAUAUAUAUUGUGCUUCUUAAGUCACUAACAAUUAAGCUUAAUCAACAAUUGUCCCUUUGCGAGGUAGACAGACUUAAAUUAUCAUUAGUUGUUUUUUACACUACUAGUGUCAAAAACGCUCUUAUAUUAUGGGAUAAAAGGAGUAGCUGAGUAAACUGCUUUCAGAACAUUCCUUGCAUAUAGAAGAGAUGCAGUGCUUUCAUUAUGAAGUAUCUAAGCAAAUUGCUUUCAGAACAUUCCAUGCAUCUAAAAUAGAUGCAGUUCUUUCAUUAUGAAGUAUCUAAGUAUAUAUAUACUGCUUUCAGGAAUCUUUUUUGCAUUUACAGAUGUAGUUUUUUUAUGUUGCAAGUUUAAAAGUUGAGCCGUAAUUCAUCUAUAAAAAGUCAUUUAUUUUUCUCAAGUCACGUUUGUCAGCUCAACUGUGUAGACUUACUCGUGCCUUCCAUCAUCCAUUUGCUUCUUCCUAGGCACUGUCAUAAGUUGAAGUUUUAUGCUUCUAGGCAUAAACAUUGCUGGUGGAUGUGAUGGAGCUGAAGUAUUGCACGUUGCAUUGGUACGACUAUCUGCUUUGAUUUGCUAAUGUGUUGAAAUGCUACAACAGGCAAUAAUAUAUUUUGAAUACGAUUUGUGAGGUUUGAACCAUUUGAAUUGUAAAUAUCCAGAUGCCUACAUAGGUAGCGUCAUAGCAUGCACCCGCAAACUACUGUCAAUUUGGUUAUAUGGGUUCACGCUUGUGAGUGACACCAACACACACAUCAAUUGAACUGAUGGGGUUCAUGCUUGUGAGUGACACUAACACAUACAUCAAUUAAACUGAUGGCGAUGCCAAGAGAAAACUACUUCAUUUUGGAUUGCAAAUGAUAUCUAAAUGUUGAAUAGGAAUGGGCUCAAAGUGUUAAAUUUGCAUUAAUAUUCAUUCUUUGGGAUCUAGUUGAUUUUAAAUACCAGUCAUGUGAUAGUAGUAGUAAUAAUAACAAUAACAAUAAUACUAAUAAUGAAUAAUAAAAUAUCUAAUUAGAUUCUAGAAUGUUUGUAAUCUCACUAUAUAUAUAAGUAGUUGGACAAAAAAAAUGGCAUUCACUUAAAAACUCGUCUGCCAGUGCAUUUGCAUGAUCCACUUUGCUAGUUUAUUCAAAGGUAUAAUAUAAUGAUUAUUAUGUGGGUUCCUAUCAGGUUUCAAGAAAUUGGCAAGUUUCCAGAUAAAUAAACUUUCAUCAUUUCGGCCAAGUUUGAAGAUGAGUUGCGGUAACUUUCAAAAUUGUAUGGCGGGUGCGAAGACGACCAAAUUCAAGACAAGUUUCAACAUUUUUAUAUUCAGUCUUAAUUUGUACAAAUUUCAAAAACAGGGCAAAUGAACAGAACUUGUUGGCACAUGAACAAAACUGUACAUUGACUUCACCUUAACCAUCAGCACACUACCAACAGCCGAUGUAGUUCAUGAGGAAGAAUUUACAAAGACUCUACACGGCAAUCGUAGCAUUUGCAUCUGUAUUUCAUACAAACAGCCAGCCACAUUGCUGACUUCCACUCAAUAUUUGCAAAAAUAACAGGCAACCUUUGGCAUGGCCUGAUUAGCUAGCUAGGAGACUAACAUACACCGUCUCUUCUCAUGUGUGUAGCACUCAACACUGAUAAGCAUUUGCCUCGUCAGUACAAGCAGAGGAACCUAGCAGUAUUUACAAGGUGUAACAAAGGUUGCAGAGGGCCGUGUUUUCUAAACUCUUUCCCAUUUCUGCCGUAGAAGCUCUUCCUCAAUCAACUCUAGACUUCUUCGCCAUGUGUAGAAUCAUGUCAGUGCAGCGCUGGCUGCAACACAAGGUACACAAGAAGUUAUAGAACGAGGCGAUUCAGAAACGUCGCAGUUGAUGGGUUUUAUACGUUUUCCUCUGAAGAAUAUGUGUGCGUGAUGAUAAAAGAUAAUUACCCGUAGCUGCGCUGGUGGUUGAACCAUGCGAAGAGCUUGAAGGAACCGUCCCCCAGCAUACCUCCAGCAUCGGCAUCAAAGAAGCACGACCUGCGUUUGUCAAGGCCAUUCAAGCAACUGAUGAACGAAUGCCUCCAAACCACACCAGCCCAUGAUGAUAUAUACAUGGUGACUACUGACACAGUUACCUGCAAUCUCCUAAAUAAUCUGUGGCCUUGAGCCCCACUCCUCCCUCCAGGUUAGCUAGUACAUAGUGAAGUUCCUCUGAAGAAGACUCCUUCCUGCAAAGUACAGCAACACACAUUUCAGUAAAUAAUGCACUUUGAAGCAAAGAUGCUUGCAGUUCUGCUUGCAAUCUUUCAUACAUACAAGACAAGGAGUACGUGGAAUUACCAACGUUUCAAAAAACAUGCCGAUCCUUUGUCGAAAACACCAGUUCCAGCAGACAUUUAUAAUACACCUUUCAGUAAAAAAUGUACUUGGGAACAGAGAUAAUAGCAACUUGACUGAAAGCACAUUACCAGGGGUACACAAGAUUACGAAAUUCCGAUAAAAAUGUCCAUCCUUUGUUGAAAAUAGCAGUUCCAGGUGAGAAUUCACAGUUAUGACUUGAUAACAGACCAGGAAAAGUCACUAGACAGCCAACUGAGCAUUGAACUUACCUGACAGAAUCCUUGAUCAUCUCAUAGUCAGCACACUCGUCAAGCCUAACGGCCAGUUCCACACAAGACAGUUUCACCUGAGGAUCAUGGCUCACCGUCACAUGGAACCUGUCGACUAAAUCAGGAAUAGCGGAACUGAGUGCCUGCAGAUUACCAAAUGUAACAAUCAGGACGUCUGCUGAAAAGAUACUGUAAUAUCAGUUUUUUUAAGAUGAUAAUAGCACAUAAAUACUAGGUUGAUUCUUACCCUGCCAAUUUCUGCAGCACUAGAGGAUGGUCCGGUUAUAGUCACAUGGCACUCUCUGAUGCCAAAUUUAGUGUGGAGGAUCUGAAAACAAUUCAAAGUCAUCAGCAACUAUACAAACCAAAUUGAGGCAAAGAGCUAGUAGCUAAACAGAGGAUGAAACUUGUAAACCUUGGCGAGCAGAGCAAGACAAAUUGUAGCGGUAUCAGCAACUGAGAUGAUCCUAAUAUCUGGUGUGUACGUAUUUUCAUUGACACCGUAAACAAAUGUGGGAGCUUCAUUGCUCAGAGCACAGAUGAUAACCUUCUUGGCGCCACCCUAGCACACAAGACAAAUGCAUGUUUCUUUACUUCGAGAUACAGAUAGGAAAUGUACAUCCGCGAACUUUGAGAUUAUUAAACCCAAUAAAAACCUGAGAAAAGAAACAGCCCCUACUAUACUGAUUUACUGUUUUGGUCAUGCUGAACAACUAAAUACAUAGCUUUCGAUUUAACAAAAAAACCAGUGUAUAUACCAUCAAGUGAGAGCUGGCAGUAUCCGUGUCAGUGAAUACUCCAGUGCUCUCCACGACGUAGUCUGCGCCGAGAUUGCCCCAGGGUAUUUUUUCAGGCUCACUAGCAUUGGAAACGACGUGUUAGGUCUUAGUACUUGAAAUGGUGGCCUGUAAAUGUAACUGAAUUUAGUGACAAAAUGGAGAUUCAUACGAAAUAGCUAGAACUUUGGUGGGAGGGAAUAAAUCAGGAGGCAUGUCCGCUAGCGCUGUAGCCUGCAAAUUCACCAAUUGAUGCACAGUAAGUCAAACAACAAAUAUAGUGACUCAAUUAUGAACAAAAACAUAAAGGUGGCAUACAAUGUCAUUUGCGCUCACAAAAGGGUCGUUGACGACGACUAGUUCCAUUUUCUUGCUGUGCAAAAUAAGCCUGGCCACAAGUCUCCCGAUCCGCCCCAAACCAUUGAUCCCAAUCCUCGGUUUGGUUGCUUUACCAGGUCGGGGUCCGAGCUUAAGUCCGCCACGCUUUGAUUUCUGCAAAGACGCGCAAAUGAAUUUCGGCAGCAGUAAGACUUGAAGAAGAUGGUGAAAUAAGAGACCAGCAGAUAACUACCUUGACUUCGUAGAACUGAGGUGGGUGAGCCUUCUUUCUGAACUCCAACGUUUCAUACUCACCCUUUGUAAGCCAGUCCCUGUCCAUGUACUCAAAACUCCUAUGCUGCUCAUCAAAAACAGUUUCCGCCACGUUCUUGAUGACCUCGUUGAGCUCUGCCACAGGUAUAAUAUCCUCCUCAUCACGGCUCCGCUUCCUGGGCCCGACUUCACUAUCCUGGUACAUCGUCUUGGCAAACGGAUCCCCCUUGACGUACAUCGGGCUCGUGUCCACCGGUGCAUCUUUGUCGGGAAGCUGGGCCUGCAGCGAAGGCGCCACAGGGCAGCUCAGGAGCGCUGGGAACACCGUGUCAGCUGGGCACACGGCAUAGGGGUCCGGCACAUCCCCAAAUGCUGAUGCACACCAAUUCCAGCAGUGAGUCGGUUAACCAUAAUGCAAGAAUAAAACAAUAUUAUUUUCUGACUGUAUACAACAGCAAUCGAGGAGACAAUUUAUCCCCUGAUUUAAUAAAACAGCAUGCCUUUAUAAGAAGGUAAGAAACUAAGCUUAUCUACUUCUUCCUCGGAUCGUUCAAAAAGGAAUAUAUAUCCCAGAACCACACGUCAUGAUUUGGGGAAUGAAUAUUAAUUCAACAACAUUAGUAUAAAUAAGCAUUCUUCGCUAUCGAAUUGACCAUCGAAAUUUCCAUGAUCAAGUUAUACUGUAGCUAACUAGCAAAUUGAGCAAACAGUAAACGGUAGCCCUAACCUUGAGGCAAAAAUUAAUUGAUUAGAAUCAUGUUAAUGGACCCAAUCUAAUGCACUUAGUUCAUUCAUCAAUUAGGCACUAGUUGCUGAACCCUGACAAUACGGUCACCUGAUGCGACAGAACAUGUUCUAACGCGUUCAUGAAGGAAAGAUGCCGAAGUUCUUCCUGAUGAAAGAAACAGUAAGCUUAUUUCCAAACAGCAGGCACAGUUCGACAUAGCAAAACUUUCUCUUAUUUCUAACGGGAAUCAAUAACUCAUUGAUAAAGGGGCACUUGAUCAACAUCCACUGACUUCACAAAAGAAAACAGCUAUCCAGGCAUUAACUUUCCUCUGAUUUUAAUAUGACAGCAUGCCUGUUCAAGAUACUACAGGUUAAGAUUUGGAGAAUGAACGUUAGUAUAAAUAAGCAUUCUUCUCUAUCAAAUUGACAACCGAAUUUCCAUGAUCAAGUUAUACUGUAGCUAACUAGCAAAUUGAGCAAACAGUAAAUGUUAGCCCUAACCUUGAGGCAGGAAUUAAUUGAUUACUCAUGUUAAUGGACCCAAUCUAAUGCACUUUGUUCAUUCAUCCAUUAGGCACUAGUUCUGACAAUAUUUUCAUAUUCAUCAAUGAAAGAUGGCGAAGUUCUUCCCUGAUGCAAGAAACAAUAAGGUUAUUUCCAAACAGCAGGCAGAGUUGGACAUAGCAAAACUUGCUCUUAUUUCUAACGAGAAUUAAUAACUCAUUGACAAAGGGGUACUUGAUCAACAUCCACUGACAAAGAAAACAGCAGCUAUCCAGGCAUUAAUAUUCCCCUGAUUUAAUAACACAGCAUGCCUGUUAAAUAAAUUAGGCUCAUCUACUUCCUGGGAUUCAGAUAAAAAGGGUUCAAAAAGGGACCAAUCCGAGAACCACAGGUUAUGAUUUGGAGAAUGGACGUUAAUUCUUUGACCAUCGACUUUCCCUGAUCAAGGUAUACUGUAGCUAACUAGCUGAUUGACCAAUCAGAAAAGAAUUACGGCAAGAAUUAAGUGACUAGAAUCUGAUGCACUUCUCGUUAAUUCUUCCAUUAGCCACCAAUUAAUGCAACAGAUCAUGUUCUAACGCAUUCAUUCAUCAGCGAAACAGGGUGAACUCAUUGACAAACCAGGGAGACGUACUUGAUCCACAUCCAAGAAACAGACACGUACGGAGCUAGACAUUUUAGGAAGUCAGUCAAAUAACUCUGUAAAAUUAAGCAUGCGUAUGUGCUUGAUCUGUAAGCGAUUAGUUGAUUUGAUCCACCAAACGGAAAAGAGAAUUGACAGCAUUAAAUUGCAGAAGCAAAACUAACAGCAACCCAAAAUCACCCAAAUCACUGGUUGAUUAGCAACAAACAAGACGCGCGCGUGCACGGUGAUUCGAAUCGAAGAAGAAACGGCGGGGCCAGAGUUGAGAGUUGUACCUGAGCCAGGCGGAAUAAACCGGAGCAAGGCGGCGUUGGGCGUGGCCGGCGGCGUCGCCGAGGAUGAAGCCGUGGUCGUGGCGGAGGAGCCGGCGACGAGCGUCGUGCAGGCGGUAGACUCGAGCGCGGUCGCGGCGGAGGAGGCGGAACCGGCGAAGACCGCCGUGCAGGUGGUAGAGUCGAGCGCGGCCGCGGAGGAAGAGGCCGAACCGGCGAACAGCGUCGUGCAGGCGGUAGGCUCGAGCGCGGAGGAGGAGGCAGCGAGCGGGGCCAGGGAAGUGGCGGGACCCGUCGAGGAGGAGGCGCCGACCUCGGCCCCGGACUCGGUGGUCUCGGGCGCGGAGAAGGCGGCCGCGGGCGGGGUCGCGGCGGUGGCUGCAGACCCCGUCGAGGAGGAUGCGGCGGCGGCGGCGGUGGACUCCGGCGCGGCGGAGCCCAUGGCCGCGAGGGGAGAGCUUGCAGAGGAAGAAAGGGAUUCUGUUACGGUUAGUUACGGUUGUCAGUUGCUUUUGGCUGGCGGGCGGGAUGCGUUUGAGUUUCAGGAGAGGGAAGGGGCCCUCGUCUCUCUUUUAAACCCCAACAGUCGUCGUCGACGUGGAUGGCACGCAAUGUGUUCGACCGAAUGCCCCUUCCUCCAUUCCUCUGUCUCUCGGAGAAACUGUCAGUGGCAAGGCCUUAUGAAUUUCAGCCCGGGUCACUCGGAUCAAUUAUUUGGUACAAGUUGGAUCCAUCCCAUCCUAAAGACUUUCACUCGAUUACUCGGAUCAAAAUCGAUUACCAUAUGCCCCGUUUAUGAACACCCUCCUUUUUUUUUCUAAAGAAUCCGUCGGUUGUUCUUCCCCCGAUAAACGUAAAACGCAACCAAAAAUUGCUUCAAAAUAAAAUCAGAGGAGGAGAGGACACAAAAAACUCACAAUGAUUCCCAAAGAAAAGAUACAUCAACUUCAUUGUCCAUUUUACGAGUCACCGAGACUAGGUGUUUAUAAGACUACUACCGGUGUUUCAUGUCAUACUAAAUUGACUCUGUAGACGAAAGAGACAAUCCAAUAAUGUUGAGAGGGGGCAGCCGACCGCUAGGGAAAACAUCGUCAUGGAUCUCCUCUCCGCGUCAGAAUUUCGGGUGAAGACCCUUGUCCGAUGUGGCUAGGCAGUGACGACGCUUUGGUCGGUUCUACGUCUUGAGGGCAUUGUCGAGGAGUUUAGGUGUCCUACUAGGGUGUUGCAUGGGGUUGUUCUCAGUUUCUCUUGUGUUCUCCUUCGGUAGCCUAGUUGCUUUGCCUUCUUCGUGUUCCAGGUAGCCUGGGAUCUGCUUUGUAAGAGGGUUAAUUCACCACCUUGUAUCUUUCGGCCGUGUACUUUCUUUGGUUUGUGACUUUAUUUAUCAAGGGGGCGAAAGCCUGUUUCGAGUGUUGUGCUGUUGGAUUUCGACAACCCAUUAGGUAAGUUUACAAUUUUUAACUCUUCUCUUUUUGACAACUUUUCUUUAAUUGCCCAGCUUUGGAAAUCUAUGUGUAGUCAUUCAAUAAAUUGUACGAUAGCUCGUUAUGAAUUUUGAAAUUUGAAAGCAUUCAAAAAAAACUUUUAAGAAUUCAAAACAUCAUGAUUCUCAACUUUUAGAAAAUCCAAAUAUAUAUACAUUGAAAGUUCAAUUGCUCUACAUCCUUUUGAUUCACCAUACAUUGAUUAGCCAACUUAACAUAUGAUUCUAAAAAUAUUAUAAUCUAUGUGUGAAUUAAGAAUGAGAAGUCUGGCUGCCGCCCCUCUCCUCGACCCCCUCCCUCCUGAUCUCCUCCUUCCCGAUCUAAUCUAGGCUUUGAUUCACCGUCGCCCAUCUCCUCGCCGUCGCCGGAGCUCCGCGGGACAAAGUUCAGGCGAGGGAUGAUGGCGGCAGCAGGGCCUUCCUCCACUGUGGCUCCGGGAAGCGGUUGCGGUCGAGAUCCACGCGUGUGUCCUGGACGUGUGUGUUAUCUGUUGGAAAUAUGCCCUAGAGGCAAUAAUAAAAGGAUUAUUAUUAUAUUUCCUUGUUCAUGACAAUUGUCUUUAUUCAUGCUAUAAUUGUAUUAUCCGGAAAUCGUAAUACACGUGUGAAUACAUAGACCAUAAUAUGUCCCUAGUAAGCCUCUAGUUGACUAGCUCGUUGAUCAACAGAUAGUCAUGGUUUCCUGAAUAUGGACAUUAGAUGUCGUUGAUAACGGGAUCACAUCAUUAGGAGAAUGAUAUGAUGGACAAGACCCAAUCCUAAGCAUAGCACAAGAUCGUGUAGUUCGUUUUGCUAGAGCUUUUCCAAUGUCAAGUAUCUUUUCCUUAGACCAUGAGAUCGUGUAACUCCCGGAUACCAUAGGAGUGCUUUGGGUGUACCAAACGUCACAACGUAACUGGGUGACUAUAAAGGUGCACUACAGGUAUCUCCGAAAGUGUCUGUUGGGUUGAUACGGAUCGAGACUGGGAUUUGUCACUCCGUAUGACGGAGAGGUAUCUCUGGGCCCACUCGGUAAUGCAUCAUCAUAAUGAGCUCAAAGUGACCAAGUGUCUGGUCACGGGAUCAUGCAUUACGGUAUGAGUAAAGUGACCUGCCGGUAACGAGACUGAACGAGGUAUUGGGAUACCGACAAUCGAGUCUCGGGCAAGUAACGUACCGACUGACAAAGGGAAUUGUAUACGGGGUUGAUUGAAUCCUCGACAUCGUGGUUCAUCCGAUGAGAUCAUCGAGGAGCAUGUGGGAGCCAACAUGGGUAUCCAGAUCCCGCUGUUGGUUAUUGACCGGAGAGCCGUCUCGGUCAUGUCUACGUGUCUCCCGAACCCGUAGGGUCUACACACUUAAGGUUCGGUGACGCUUGGGUUGUAGAGAUAUGAGUAUGCAGCAAACCGAAAGUUGUUAGGAGUCCCGGAUGAGAUCCCGGACGUCACGAGGAGUUCCGAAAUGGUCCGUAGGUAAAGAAUAAUAUAUAGGAAGUGCAAUUUCGGCCAUCGGGAGAGUUUCGGGGGUCACCGGUAUUGUACCGGGACCACCGGAAGGGUCCCGGGGGUCCACCGGGUGGGGCCACCUAUCUCGAAGGGCCCCGUGGGCUGAAGUGGGGAGGGUACCAGCCCCUGGUGGGCUGGUGCGCCCCCCUGGGCCCCCCUCUGCGCCUAGGGUUGGGAGCCCUAGGGGAGGGGGCGCCUCAAGUUGCCUUGGGGGGCACUCCACCCCCUUGGCCGCCGCCCCCCUAGAGAUCCCAUCUCUAGGGCCGGCGCCCCCCUGGGGGCCUAUAUAAGGGAGGGGGAGGGAGGUCAGCCGCACCCUGAAGUCUUGGCGCCUCCAUCUCCCCUGCUACACCUCUCCCUCUCGCAGAAGCUCGGCGAAGCUCUGCCGGAACGCUGCUGCAUCCACCACCACGCCGUCAUGCUGCUGGAUCUUCAUCAACCUCUCCCUCCUCCUUGCUGGAUCAAGGUGCGGGAGACGUCAUCCGCUCCGUACGUGUGUUGAACACGGAGGUGCUGUCCGUUCGGCAUUUGGUCAUCGGUGAUUUGGAUCACGACGAGUACGACUCCCUCAACCCCGUUCUCUGAACGCUUCCGCUCGCGAUCUACAAAGGUAUGUAGAUGCACUCCUAUCACUCAUUGCUAGAUGAACUCAUAGAUGGAUCUUGGUGAAACCGUAGGAAAAUUUUUAUUUUCUGCAACGUUCCCCAACAGUGGCAUCAUGAGCUAGGUCUAUGCGUAGUUCUCUAUUGCACGAGUAGAACACAAAUUUGUUGUGGGCGUAGAUGUUGUCAACUUUCUUGCCGCUACUAGUCUUAUUUUGCUUCAGCGGUAUUGUGAAGCGGCCCGGACCGACCUUACACGUACGCUUACGUGAGACAGGUUCCACUGACUGACAUGCACUAGUUGCAUAAGGUGGCUAGCGGGUGUCUGUCUCUCCCACUUUAGUUGGAGCGGAUUUGAUGAAAAGGGUCCUUAUGAAGGGUAAAUAGAAGUUGACAAAUCACGUUGUGGCUUUUUCGUAAGUAAGAAAACGUUCUUGCUAGAACCCUAUUGCAGCCACGUAAAAGAUGCAACAACAAUUAGAGGACGUCUAACUUGUUUUUGCAGCAAUUGCCUUGUGAUGUGAUAUGGCCAAAAGUUGUGAUGAAUGAUGAAUGAUAUAUUGUGAUGUAUGAGAUCAUGUUCUUGUAAUAGGAAUCACGACUUGCAUGUCGAUGAGUAUGACAACCGGCAGGAGCCAUAGGAGUUGUCUUAAUUAUUGUAUGACCUGCGUGUCAAUGAUUUAACGCCAUGUAAUUACUUUACUUUAUUGCUAAACCGUUAGCCAUAGUAGUAGAAGUAAUAGUUGGCGAGCAACUUCAUGGAGACACGAUGAUGGAGAUCAUGCUGAUGGAGAUCAUGGUGUCGUGCCGGUGACGAAGAUGAUCAUGGAGCCCCGAAGAUUGAGAUCAAAGGAGCUAUAUGAUAUUGGCCAUAUCAUGUCACUGUUAUAUAAUUGCAUGUGAUGUUUAUUAUGUCUAUGCAUCUUGUUUACUUAGAAUGACGGUAGUAAAUAAGAUGAUCCCUUAUAAUAAUUUCAAGAAAGUGUUCCCCCUAACUGUGCGCCGUUGCUAAAGUUCGUCGUUUCGAAGCACCACGUGAUGAUCGGGUGAUAUAGAUUCUUAUGUUCACAUACAACAGGUGUAAGACAGUUUUACACAUGCAGAAACACUUAGGGUUAACUUGACGAGCCUAGCAUGUAUAGACAUGGCCUCGGAACACAGAGACCGAAAGGUCGAACAUGAGUCGUAUGGAAGAUACGAUCAACAUGGAGAUGUUCACCGAUGAUGACUAGUCCGUCUCACGUGAUGAUCGGACACGGCCUAGUCGACUCGGAUCGUGUAACACUUAGAUGACUAGAGGGAUGUCUAAUAUGAGUGGGAGUUCAUUAAAUAAUUUGAUUAGAUGAACUUAAUUAUCAUGAACUUAGUCUAAAACCUUUGCAAAUAUGUCUUGUAGAUCAAAUGUCCAAUGCUCAUGUCAACAUGAACUUCAACGCGUUCCUAGAGAAAACCAAGCUGAAAGAUGAUGGCAGCAACUAUACGGACUGGGUCCGGAACCUGAGGAUCAUCCUCAUAGCUGCCAAGAAAGCAUAUGUCCUAGAAGGACCGCUAGGUGAAGCACCCAUCCCAGAGAACCAAGACGUUAUGAAUGCUUGGCAGUCACAUGCUGAUGAUUACUCCCUCAUUUAGUGCGCCAUACUUUACAGCUUAGAACCGGGGCUCCAAAAGCGUUUUGAGCAACACGGAGCAUAUGAGAUGUUCGAGGAGCUGAAAAUGGUUUUCCAAGCUCAUGCCCGGGUCGAGAGAUAUGAAGUCUCCGACAAGUUCUAUAGUUGUAAGAUGGAGAAAAAUAGUUCUGUCAGUGAGCACAUACUCAAAAUGUCUGGGUUGCACAACCGCCUGCCCCAGCUGUACAUUAACCUCCCGGACGAGGCGGUCAUUGACAGAAUCCUUCAGUCGCUCCCACCGAGCUACAAGAGCUUCGUGAUGAACUACAAUAUGCAGGGGAUGGUGAAAACUAUUCCUGAAGUAUUUUCAAUGCUGAAGUCGGCAGAGGUAGAAAUCAAGAAAGAACAUCAAGUAUUGAUGGUCAAUAAAACUGUUGGGGAACAUUGCAGUAAAUUAAAAAAUUUCCUACGGUUUCACCAAGAUCCAUCUAUGAGUUCAUCUAGCAACGAGUCAUGGGAGAGUGAUUGCAUCUACAUACCACUUGUAGAUCGCGUGCGGAAGCGUUCAAUGGAACGGGGUUGAUGGAGUCGUACUCGCCGUGAUUCAGAUCACCGAUGACCUAGUGCCGAAUGGACAGCACCUCCGCGUUCAACACACGUACGGAGCAGAUGACGUCUCCUCCUUCUUGAUCCAGCAAGGGGGGGAGAAGAGGUUGAUGAAGAUCUAGCAGCACGACGGCGUGGUGGUGGAUGCAGCAGAACUCCGGCAGGGCUUCGCUAAGCAACUACGGGAGGAGGAGGAGGUGUUGCAGGGAGGAGGGAGGCGCCAGGGCUUAUGGGUGCGGCCACCCCUCCCUCCCCUCCCUUUAUAUAGGCGCAUGAGAGGGGAAGGGCGCAGCCUUGCCCCUUCCUCCAAGGAAGGGGUGCGGCCAAGAGGGGGGAGGUGUAACGCCCGGAUAAUCUUGCUACAGUAAUCCCACGCUAAUCAUGGCACGUCAUCCCGAUUACUGUUGCUAUCCUCGCAAUAAUUCGAAACCGUUCAAAUUCAAAAUUCAAAUUGAUGAAAACAAUAAAAGUUUUCAAAAUUUAAAAUAAAAUUGUUCGGUGGUUGACGAAUAUUACAAAGGUAAUUAUAGUGCAACAGACAUAUUUUUAUAAAAUGGCUAAAUGGAUUAAAUGAUUUAAACAGAAAAGAAAUAAUAAAAGAAAAUACAAAAGGAAAGAAAAACAGAAAACCAAAAAGAAANNNNNNNNNNNNNNNNNNNNNNNNNNNNNNNNNNNNNNNNNNNNNNNNNNNNNNNNNNNNNNNNNNNNNNNNNNNNNNNNNNNNNNNNNNNNNNNNNNNNNNNNNNNNNNNNNNNNNNNNNNNNNNNNNNNNNNNNNNNNNNNNNNNNNNNNNNNNNNNNNNNNNNNNNNNNNNNNNNNNNNNNNNNNNNNNNNNNNNNNNNNNNNNNNNNNNNNNNNNNNNNNNNNNNNNNNNNNNNNNNNNNNNNNNNNNNNNNNNNNNNNNNNNNNNNNNNNNNNNNNNNNNNNNNNNNNNNNNNNNNNNNNNNNNNNNNNNNNNNNNNNNNNNNNNNNNNNNNNNNNNNNNNNNNNNNNNNNNNNNNNNNNNNNNNNNNNNNNNNNNNNNNNNNNNNNNNNNNNNNNNNNNNNNNNNNNNNNNNNNNNNNNNNNNNNNNNNNNNNNNNNNNNNNNNNNNNNNNNNNNNNNNNNNNNNNNNNNNNNNNNNNNNNNNNNNNNNNNNNNNNNNNNNNNNNNNNNNNNNNNNNNNNNNNNNNNNNNNNNNNNNNNNNNNNNNNNNNNNNNNNNNNNNNNNNNNNNNNNNNNNNNNNNNNNNNNNNNNNNNNNNNNNNNNNNNNNNNNNNNNNNNNNNNNNNNNNNNNNNNNNNNNNNNNNNNNNNNNNNNNNNNNNNNNNNNNNNNNNNNNNNNNNNNNNNNNNNNNNNNNNNNNNNNNNNNNNNNNNNNNNNNNNNNNNNNNNNNNNNNNNNNNNNNNNNNNNNNNNNNNNNNNNNNNNNNNNNNNNNNNNNNNNNNNNNNNNNNNNNNNNNNNNNNNNNNNNNNNNNNNNNNNNNNNNNNNNNNNNNNNNNNNNNNNNNNNNNNNNNNNNNNNNNNNNNNNNNNNNNNNNNNNNNNNNNNNNNNAAAAAUAAAAAUAAUAUUUAUUAAAUAAAUAAAUAAUAAUUAAAUUAAUUAAUUAAUUAAGGAAUUAAUUAAGUUAAUUAAUCAUAAUUAGAUUAACCUAAUUAACUAAUUAGUUAAAUUAAACUGUAAUUAGAUUAACCUAAACCCUAAUUAAUUUAAAUAGAGAAUGACAGGUGGGUCCCACUGGACCCACAUGUCAGGGUUGACUCAGUCAACCCCUGUUGACUGCUGACGUCAGCAUGACAUCAUGCUGACGUCAUAAAUACAUUUUUUUCGAAUUAAUUAAAUAAAUAAUUAAAUUCCAAAAUUAUUAAAAUCUUUUAAAAAUCAUAUCUUUUAAUCCGUAACUCGGAUUAAAAUGUUUUCAACAUGAAAGUUGCUCAGAACGACGAGACGAUUCCGGAUACGCAGUCCGUUCGUCCGCCACACACCCCUAACCUAUCGAACUCGCAACUAUUCCCCUCCGGUUCAUCUGUCCGAAAACGCGAAACACCGGGAAUACUUUCCCGGAUGUUUCCCCCCUUCGUCGGUAUCACCAACUACCGCGAUUGGGCGCACCUAGCAUCGUACUUGUCAUGUCAUGCAUCGAUAUGCAUUUGUUUGCAUUGUAUUCAUUGUUUCUUCCCCCUCUUCUCUCCCGUAGACUACGAGACCGACGCUGCUGCUGCCCAGUUCGACUACGGAGUUGACGACCCCUCCUUCUUGCCAGAGCAAUCAGGCAAGCCCCCCCCUUGAUCACCAGAUAUCGCCUAUUCUUUUCUAUACUGCUUGCAUUAGAGUAGUGUAGCAUGUUACUGCUUUCCGUUGAUCCUAUCCUGAUGCAUAGCCUGACAUUGUUGCUACACCUGUUGAUACCUUACCUGCAAUCCUAAAUGCUUAGUAUAUGAUGCUAGUUUAUCAUCAUUGGCCCUACAUUCUUGUCAGUCUGCCUUGCUAUACUAUUGGGCCGUGAUCACUCGGGAGGUGAUCACGGGUAUAUACUAUACAUACAUACAUACUAUACAGAUGGUGACUAAAGUCGGGUCAGCUCGAAGAGUACCCGCGAGUGAUUCACGGAUUGGGGGCUGAAAGGACCUUUGUCCCGACGGCCCUCUGUGUGGAUCUUUGUGGCGGAGCGGCAGGGCAGGUUGAGACCGCCUAGGAGAGAGGUGGGCCUGGCCCUGUUCGGCGUUCGCGGACACUUAACACGCUUAACGAGAUCUUGGUAUUUGAUCUGAGUCUGGCUACGAGCCUAUACGCACUAACCAUCUACGUGGGAGUAGUUAUGGGUAUCCCGACGUCGUGGUAUCAGCCGAAGCACUUCAGACGUCAGCACGGAGCGGCGCGCGCCGAAUUGGACUGGAACGCCACUAGGCUAGGUCUGCUUUCGGCCGCCCACGCAACGUGCAGGUGUGCUCAGGGCGAUGGGCCCAGACCCCUGCGCGCUUAGGUUUAGACCGGCGUGCUGGCCUCUCUGUUUUGCCUAGGUGGGGCUGCGACGUGUUGAUCUUCCGAGGCCGGGCAUGACCCAGGAAAGUGUGUCCGGCCAAACGGGAUCAAGCGUGUUGGGUUAUGUGGUGCACCCCUGCAGGGAAGUUAAUCUAUUCGAAUAGCCGUGAUCUUCGGUAACAGGACGACUUGGAGUUGUACCUUGACCUUAUGACAACUAGAACCGGAUACUUAAUAAAACACACCCUUCCAAAUGCCAGAUACAACCGGUGGUCGCUCUACCUCAGGGAUAUGAGGAGGGGAUCGCCGGGUAGGAUUAUGCUAUGAAAUGUUACUUGGAGAUGCUACUUGGAGGACUUCAACCUACCCUCUUCUACCUGUUGCAAGAAGAAGGUGACCAGAAGCGUAGUCUUCGACAGGACUAGCUAUCCCCCUCUUAUUCUGGCAUUCUGCAGUUCAGUCCACUGAUAUGGCCCUUUACACAUAUACCCAUGCAUAUGUAGUGUAGUUCCUUGCUUGCGAGUACUUUGGAUGAGUACUCACGGUUGCUUUCUCCCCCCUUUUUCCCCUUUCCCUUCUUUCUGGUUGUCGCAACCAGAUGCUGGAGUCCAGGAGCCAGACGCUACCGUCGACGACGACCCCUACUACACUGGAGGUGCCUACUACUACGUGCUGCCCGCUGAUGACGACCGGGAGUAGUUUAGGAGGAUCCCAGGCAGGAGGCCUGCGCCUCUUUCGAUCUAUAUCCCAGUUUGUGCUGGCCUUCUUAAGGCAAACUUGUUUAACUUAUGUUUGUACUCAGAUAUUGUUGCUUCCGCUGACUCGUCUAUGAUCGAGCACUUGUAUUCGAGCCCUCGAGGCCCCUGGCUUGUAUUAUGAUGCUUGUAUGACUUAUUUUAUUUGUAGAGUUGUGUUGUGAUAUCUUCCCGUGAGUCCCUGAUCUUGAUCGUACACAUUUGCGUGCAUGAUUAGUGUACGAUUGAAUCGGGGGCGUCACAAGUUGGUAUCAGAGCCAGGUUUCGAUCCUGGGACCUGUGGGUUAUGGGCCCACGUCGCCAUCGGGUGGUACUAGGAUCUUUUACUCCUCGACCUUUACUCUGGGACUCUGAACUCUUUUCUACUCGGGUUAAACGAAUUUACUAACUCUAACAUUAGGAUCCCGUUACCACGUUCACCCCGAAGUUGGAUAAGACAUAGUUAUUCUGUAGGAUAGCAUUUUGAAUAGUGCCCGUGUUGUCAUUUGACUCCAUUGAAACAUAUUUGUUUUCAGAUGGAACCCACGAGGCAGGUCGUGCGCCACACUGCGGCCAUUGGUGCCUCAGGAUCACCUGCAGUGCUAGCUGAUAUGAUGACCUAUCUGGGUUAUCGCUGGCACCCUGAGUACACCGUCUACGAGGAGUAUCAGGACUUUAACCAGGAGCAGUACCGUGCCAUCGUCCACCUCUACUCUCGGGAGUAUGAGUCCACUACCGUGCUGCACACCGCUCAUGGUGUUGGAGUGACCAUCGAGAUGGCAGUUCACGAUGCGGCUCAUGCUGCUCUGACACGUCUUCGUGGAGAGUAUCAGGCAUUGGACACUUCCCCUUUCAGGCACAUUCCUAUCGCAUCUGACGUUGGUGCGGAGGGAUACUACACUGCCGCCUACUCCACCGUCACCCGAGAGCCUUUCCACCAUCAGCGCCUGGUUCUGCAUGCUGAUGGGCUGGACCGAGCUAACAGAGCUCUUCGCCACGAGUUGUACACCACUCGUCAGCACCUUUACAGGGCUCUGACGCGGCUGCACCCCUUUGUCCGGUCUAGACAGCUGCCGCGUUCUGCGAUCUACCCAGCCAGGACCGUGAUGCCCCACGGUGUCGGAUGGCCAGAGGUGGGAGGCUACUCUCCCACACUUGGUCCUCUUCUGCCACCUGAGCAUCGGGUUCUACACCAGAGUAUCCGCGGCCCCCAGGCCACUGACGUGGAGGACUAUCCGUUGCCUCACUACCAGCUGUCAGGUUACAGCUACCUUCACAGUACCUCCUGGGACUGAUGUAGUCUUGUUCAUUAGUCUUAGAUGCACUCGCGAGCCUGCGUGCCGCCUAUGAUGACUUAAUCUAUGUACUGAACUCUGUGUACUGAACUCUAUGUCCGACCCCUUUUGUAAGUUAUGCCGACUAUCUAUGUGGUAUUUGUCGUGCUCAUUUCAUUUUGCAUGUUUCAUCAUGAAUGACUCUUGUCUAUGCAAAUUCUCAAUACUGCACUACCCCUGUUAUAUAUGAGCAGGAUGGUUAGACCAGCUGGUCGUGGUCGUGGUGGCAACUUCCCACCACCGCCUGAGUACAUGGCUGGUAUGAUCCAACAGCUUGAGAUGAAUCGCCAGUUCAUGGAAAACAUGAUGGCUCAGUUUCCUCGCCCCAAUAUGAACCAGCAUCCAAACACAACAACUCUGCAGGAUUUCAUACGCCUCAACCCAAGUGUGUACCGCAGCUCAACCCAGCCGCUGGAUGCUGAUGACUGGCUCCGUGACAUCACCUAUGAGAUGGAGUCUGCUGAUGUAGCCCCUGCCAGCUAUGUCACUUUUGCUUCCUUCUUCCUGAAGGGACCCGCAGCUCAAUGGUGGGACAGCCAUAGGCGUACUCUGCCAGUUGGGACAAUCAUCUCCUGGCCAGACUUUCAGGCUGCCUUCCGUGCCCGCUUCAUUCCUCAGGGAAUCAUGGACAGGAAGAAGCGUGAGUUUCGCAACCUCACCCAAGGCAACAAGACUGUUGAAGCUUAUCAGCGGGAGUUUCUGGACUUAUCCCGCUAUGCUGAAGAAGACAUAGCAACUGAUGCUCGCAGACAGGAGAAGUUCCGUGAAGGCCUUCAAGCUGACAUCAAGCUCACACUUCUAGUGCAUGACUUUGCCGAUUUCGCCACCUUGGUGAACAAGGCCAUCAAUGUCGAGACUGGUCUGCAAGAACACCAGAGCUCUCAAAGGCGCAACCGUGACACGGGCUCAUCUUCGGGCCCGCCCUCGCAGAAGCGUAAGAUAUGGAUCCCGAACAGCAUGUACCGUCCAACUGCACCUGCCCCAAGGCAGUCUUUUGCUGCACCUCGUCUGCCGACUGCUCCAACUAGGCAGCCGAGGCUUCCAGCUCCACCACCCCAAGCUCCUGUUCCUACCCCCGAGAAUGGGUUGUGCUUCAGGUGCGGACAACCAGGGCACCGUGCUAGGGAAUGCAACCAGAGACAGAAUCAACUGGCCCUUCCAGCAACUGGCCGUGGGAACAACCAGGCCCGCAACAACAAUGCCAAGUCUUAUGGCCGUGUUCAUGCCAACCACAUUGAUCUGAAUGAAGCUCAAGACCAGCCUGCUACUGUGAUGGGUACACUCCUCGUAAAUUCAGUACCAGCAUCUGUUUUAUUCGAUACAGGUGCAUCGCAUUCAUUCAUGUCAGAAGAUUUUGCAUGCUUGCACGACAUUAAAUGUGAGGACAUGAAUGCUUCACUAUUAGUGCACACCCCUGCGGGCCAAUGUCGAACCUCCAUGAUUUGCAACGACGUCCCUGUAGAAAUCGAAGGACUGGAAUUCCUUGUCUCUCCCAUCGUACUGAAGUCCUGUAGCAUUGAUCUCAUUUUGGGAAUGGAUUGGUUAAAGGCGCAUACUGCUUCUAUCGUUUGCGCCACUAAGACCGUUCAUCUGCUACACCCUUCUGAUGAAAUAAUUAGCUAUGAUGCUCAUCUGGUUCGGAAUGCCGAGGCCAGGCUUUAUGCCUUAAACGCAUUGAACGUUGCACCACUCAAGGGCAUUGAAAACAUUCCUGUCGUGCGUGAAUUCCUAGACGUCUUUCCUGAAGAACUCCCAGGGAUUCCCCCUGCUAGAGCUGUCGAAUUCGUCAUCGACUUGAAACCAGGCACCACUCCUAUAGCCAAGAGACCCUACAAGAUGCCGCCGCAUGAACUCCUUGAGCUUAAGGAGGAAAUCGAUAAAUCUCUUCAAAGUGGUUUCAUUCGCCCAAGUUGCUCUCCUUGGGGAGCACCUUCUCUCUUUGUCAAGAAGAAAGAUGGGACAAACCGAUUGGUCCAAGACUACCGUCCUAUAAAUCAAGCUACCAUUCAGAAUAAGUAUCCUCUUCCUCGGAUCAAUGAUCUGUAUGAUCAAUUGGCUGGUUCAUCAGUGUUCUCUAAACUCGACUUGAGGUUGGGUUACCACCAGAUCCGUGUUCGUGAGGAAGAUAUCCCCAAGACCGCCUUUGUGACUCGUUAUGGUUCAUACGAGUACACCGUCAUGUCUUUCGGCUUAACCAAUGCUCCAGCCACCUUCUCUCGCCUGAUGAACUAUAUAUUCAUGGAUUACCUUGACAAGUUCGUCGUGGUUUAUCUGGAUGAUAUUCUGGUAUUUUCCAAGAACGAAGAGGAACAUGCUGAACAUCUUCGCCUCGUACUGGAAAAGCUACGAGAGCAUCAACUUUAUGCCAAGUUCUCCAAAUGUGAAUUCUGGCUUCCCGAAGUAACCUAUCUCGGGCAUGUCAUCUCUAAGGAUGGUAUUGCCGUCAACCCUGAACGAGUUCAGGCUAUUCUCGAUUGGACUCCUCCGAAGAACGUUAAGCAAGUCAGAAGUUUUCUCGGUCUCGCCAGCUACUGCCGUCGAUUCGUCGAGAACUUCUCCAAGAUUGCCAGGCCUCUGACUAACCUAUUGCAUAAGGGCGUCAAGUUCCAAUGGACAGACAAAUGUCAGGAAAGCUUCCAGGCACUCAAAGACAAGUUGACUUCUGCCCCAGUACUAGCUCCACCUGAUACUAAGAAGGACUUCGUCAUUUACUGCGACGCUUCCCGUCAAGGAUUAGGCUGUGUCCUAAUGCAAGAGCGCAAAGUGGUUGCUUAUGCCUCUCGUCAAUUGCGCCCUCACGAAGAGAACUACCCAGUUCACGAUCUCGAACUUGCUGCUGUCAUCCAUGCGCUAAAACAGUGGCGACAUUACCUACUCGGUAAUCGUUGCGAGAUCUUCACUGACCACCAAAGUCUGAAGUAUCUGUUUACUCAGCCAGACCUGAACCUCCGUCAGCAGAGAUGGAUGGAGACUGUUGCAGAUUUUGAUUUGGGUAUUUCCUAUACACCAGGCAAGGCUAAUGUAAUGGCUGAUGCCUUGAGCCGCAAGUCUUACUGCAACCACCUCCAGGUUCACAAAGUUCAGCCCUCACUUGUUGAAGAAUUCAGAAAGCUAAACCUCCAUAUUGUUCCUCCGGGUGCACUCGCUCCCCCUCCUCCGGAGUUCCGCAAGAUGAAUCUCCGUGUUGUUUCCCAGGGUUCCCUCUAUAACCUGGCUGUUGAACCCGAUCUCGUGGGCACCAUAAAGACAAUGCAGGGAUUUGACUCUGAAGUCUACAAGAUUAAGCAAGACCUCAAAGAAGGAGGUUCCUCAUCCUUCACUAUUGCUGAUGAUGGCGCCUUGUACUUCAAAGGCCGCCUAGUGGUGCCGUGUAAGAAGGAAAACCUGAAUAUGACCCAGGAGGUUAUGAAAGAAGCUCAUGAUACGCCUCUUUGUAUCCAUCCUGGUAGUACGAAGAUGUAUCAAGACAUCCGCCAGAGAUUCUGGUGGUCUAACAUGAAGCAAGACAUUGCUCGUUAUGUUGCUGAAUGUGACGUUUGCCGUCGUAUCAAAGCAGAACAUCAAAGGCCUGCUGGAACUCUGCAACCUAUAUCUAUUCCGGAAUGGAAAUGGGACCAUGUCGAGAUGGACUUCGUUACUGGAUUCCCCAAAUCGCAGAAAGGCAAUGAUGCUAUUCUUGUCGUCAUUGACCGACUUUCUAAAGUUGCACAUUUUCUGGCGGUCAAAGAAAGGAUCACUGCUAGUCAGCUUGCAACUCUCUACAUGACCAGAAUUGUUUCGCUUCACGGUAUUCCACUGGUUAUCAGUUCAGACCGUGGCAGUUUAUUCACUUCAAGAUUCUGGGCAAGUUUCCAAGAAGCUAUGGGCACUCAUCUAUCUUUCAGCACUGCUUUUCAUCCUCAGUCACAAGGGCAAGUUGAACGUGUCAACCAAGUUCUCGAGGACAUGCUUCGAGCUUGUGUUAUUUCCUUCGGCAAGAAAUGGGAGGAAUCUCUUCCGUAUGUUGAGUUCUCUUAUAAUAAUAGCUAUCAAGCUAGUCUGAAGAUGGCCCCCUUCGAAGUGUUAUAUGGACGAAAGUGCCGAACCCCUCUGAACUGGUCAGAAACUGGGGAACGUCCACUCUUUGGUCCGGAUAUUAUCCAACAUGCCGAAGAUCAAGUCCGCAUUAUUCGCGAGAAUCUCAAGACUGCUCAGUCACGCCAAAAGAGUAAUUAUGACCGUCAUCAUAAAGACAUGGUCUAUCAACCUGGCGAGAAGGCCUAUCUUCGAGUUACACCAAUGAAGGGUGCUCACCGCUUCGGGAUCAAGGGCAAGCUAGCUCCUCGCUAUAUUGGCCCAUUCACUAUUCUGGAAAGGCGUGGAAAAGUGGCAUAUCAAUUGGAGCUUCCGCCGAACCUUUCUCAGGUUCACGAUGUGUUCCAUGUGUCACAACUUCGCCGUUGCUUCAAGGACCCCAUCCGAGCUGUGGAUCAUGAAGUCCUCGAAUUGCAACAGGACCUCUCCUAUAAAGAGCAUCCGGUCCGCAUUCUCGACCAAGCUGAACGCCGCACACGCCAGAAGGCGAUCAAGUUCCUCAAGGUCCAGUGGUCGAAUCACUCUGAAGACGAAGCCACCUGGGAACGCGAGGAUCGCCUGCGUGAUGAAUACCCCGCACUGUUUCCUUCUACCUCCUAAAAUCUCGGGACGAGAUUUCUUGUAGUGGAGGAGAUUUGUAACGCCCGGAUAAUCUUGCUACAGUAAUCCCACGCUAAUCAUGGCACGUCAUCCCGAUUACUGUUGCUAUCCUCGNNNNNNNNNNCGCCGCCCUUGCCUGCUCGACACCGCCGCUCGCCGGUACGGGCCGGUCCUCCCCCGACCUCGUCGGCCCCGCCCCGGGCUGUCGUGCCUGUCGUCGCCCCGUGCGCCCUUGGGCGUGCGCCCGCUCGGGCUGGCGCCCGACGCCCAUCUCCACCCCAGCACCCGUUAGCCCGAACCGCUGUGGCCCCUUUGGCCCAAUGACACAGGGGCCCACGCCCCAGAACUUUAAAAAAAAAAGAGGAAUUAAAAUAAAAAUAAAAAUAAUAUUUAUUAAAUAAAUAAAUAAUAAUUAAAUUAAUUAAUUAAUUAAGGAAUUAAUUAAGUUAAUUAAUCAUAAUUAGAUUAACCUAAUUAACUAAUUAGUUCAAUUAAACUGUAAUUAGAUUAACCUAAACCCUAAUUAAUUUAAAUAGAGAAUGACAGGUGGGUCCCACUGGACCCACAUGUCAGGGUUGACUCAGUCAACCCCUGUUGACUGCUGACGUCAGCAUGACAUCAUGCUGACGUCAUAAAUACAUUUUUUUCGAAUUAAUUAAAUAAAUAAUUAAAUUCCAAAAUUAUUAAAAUCUUUUAAAAAUCAUAUCUUUUAAUCCGUAACUCGGAUUAAAAUAUUUUCAACAUGAAAGUUGCUCAGAACGACGAGACGAUUCCGGAUACGCAGUCCGUUCGUCCGCCACACACCCCUAACCUAUCGAACUCGCAACUUUUCCCCUCCGGUUCAUCUGUCCGAAAACGCGAAACACCGGGAAUACUUUCCCGGAUGUUUCCCCCCUUCGUCGGUAUCACCAACUACCGCGAUUGGGCGCACCUAGCAUCGUACUUGUCAUGUCAUGCAUCAAUAUGCAUUUGUUUGCAUUGUAUUCAUUGUUUCUUCCCCCUCUUCUCUCCCGUAGACUACGAGACCGACGCUGCUGCUGCCCAGUUCGACUACGGAGUUGACGACCCCUCCUUCUUGCCAGAGCAAUCAGGCAAGCCCCCCCCCCCUUGAUCACCAGAUAUCGCCUAUUCUUUUCUAUACUGCUUGCAUUAGAGUAGUGUAGCAUGUUACUGCUUUCCGUUGAUCCUAUCCUGAUGCAUAGCCUGACAUUGUUGCUACACCUGUUGAUACCUUACCUGCAAUCCUAAAUGCUUAGUAUAUGAUGCUAGUUUAUCAUCAUUGGCCCUACAUUCUUGUCAGUCUGCCUUGCUAUACUAUUGGGCCGUGAUCACUCGGGAGGUGAUCACGGGUAUAUACUAUACAUACAUACAUACAUACUAUACAGAUGGUGACUAAAGUCGGGUCAGCUCGAAGAGUACCCGCGAGUGAUUCACGGAUUGGGGGCUGAAAGGACCUUUGUCCCGACGGCCCUCUGUGUGGAUCUUUGUGGCGGAGCGGCAGGGCAGGUUGAGACCGCCUAGGAGAAAGGUGGGCCUGGCCCUGUUCGGCGUUCGCGGACACUUAACACGCUUAACGAGAUCUUGGUAUUUGAUCUGAGUCUGGCUACGAGCCUAUACGCACUAACCAUCUACGUGGGAGUAGUUAUGGGUAUCCCGACGUCGUGGUAUCAGCCGAAGCACUUCAGACGUCAGCGACGGAGCGGCGCGCGCCGAAUUGGACUGGAACGCCACUAGGCUAGGUCUGCUUUCGGCCGCCCACGCAACGUGCAGGUGUGCUCAGGGCGAUGGGCCCAGACCCCUGCGCGCUUAGGUUUAGACCGGCGUGCUGGCCUCUCUGUUUUGCCUAGGUGGGGCUGCGACGUGUUGAUCUUCCGAGGCCGGGCAUGACCCAGGAAAGUGUGUCCGGCCAAAUGGGAUCAAGCGUGUUGGGUUAUGUGGUGCACCCCUGCAGGGAAGUUAAUCUAUUCGAAUAGCCGUGAUCUUCGGUAACAGGACGACUUGGAGUUGUACCUUGACCUUAUGACAACUAGAACCGGAUACUUAAUAAAACACACCCUUCCAAGUGCCAGAUACAACCGGUGGUCGCUCUACCUCAGGGAUAUGAGGAGGGGAUCGUCGGGUAGGAUUAUGCUAUGAAAUGUUACUUGGAGAUGCUACUUGGAGGACUUCAACCUACCCUCUUCUACCUGUUGCAAGAAGAAGGUGACCAGAAGCGUAGUCUUCGACAGGACUAGCUAUCCCCCUCUUAUUCUGGCAUUCUGCAGUUCAGUCCACUGAUAUGGCCCUUUACACAUAUACCCAUGCAUAUGUAGUGUAGUUCCUUGCUUGCGAGUACUUUGGAUGAGUACUCACGGUUGCUUUCUCCCCCCUUUUUCCCCUUUCCCUUCUUUCUGGUUGUCGCAACCAGAUGCUGGAGUCCAGGAGCCAGACGCUACCGUCGACGACGACCCCUACUACACUGGAGGUGCCUACUACUACGUGCUGCCCGCUGAUGACGACCGGGAGUAGUUUAGGAGGAUCCCAGGCAGGAGGCCUGCGCCUCUUUCGAUCUAUAUCCCAGUUUGUGCUAGCCUUCUUAAGGCAAACUUGUUUAACUUAUGUCUGUACUCAGAUAUUGUUGCUUCCGCUGACUCGUCUAUGAUCGAGCACUUGUAUUCGAGCCCUCGAGGCCCCUGGCUUGUAUUAUGAUGCUUGUAUGACUUAUUUUAUUUGUAGAGUUGUGUUGUGAUAUCUUCCCGUGAGUCCCUGAUCUUGAUCGUACACAUUUGCGUGCAUGAUUAGUGUACGAUUGAAUCGGGGGCGUCACAGGAGGAGUCCAUCCUCCCCAAGGCACCUUGGAGGUGCCUUCCCCUCUUUGGACUCUCCCCUCUCCAAGUCUUCUUGGCGCAUGGGCCUCUUGGGGCUGGUGCCCUUGGCCCAUAUAGGCCAAGGCGCACCCCCUACAGCCCAUNNNNNNNNNNNNNNNNNNNNNNNNNNNNNNNNNNNNNNNNNNNNNNNNNNNNNNNNNNNNNNNNNNNNNNNNNNNNNNNNNNNNNNNNNNNNNNNNNNNNNNNNNNNNNNNNNNNNNNNNNNNNNNNNNNNNNNNNNNNNNNNNNNNNNACCCCUUUCGGCACUCCCGGUACAAUACCGAUAAAGUGCGAAACUUUUCCGGCGACCAAAAUAAGACUUCCUAUAUAUAAAUCUUUACCUCCGGACCAUUCCGGAACUCCUCGUGAUGUCUGGGAUCUCAUCCGGGACUCCGAACAACAUUCGGUAUGCUGCAUACUCAUAUUCAUACAACCCUAGCGUCACCGAACCUUAAGUGUGUAGACCCUACGGGUUCGGGAGACACAUAGACAUGACCGAGACGGCUCUCGGGCAAUAACCAACAGCGGGAUCUGGAUACCCAUGUUGGCUCCCACAUGCUCCUCGAUGAUCUCAUCGGAUGAACCACGAUGUCGAGGAUUCAAACAACCCCGUAUACAAUUCCCUUUGUCAAUCGGUACGUUACAUGCCCAAGACUCGAUCGUCGGUAUCCCAAUACCUUGUUCAGUCUUGUUACCGGCAAGUCACUUUACUCGUACCGUAAUGCAUGAUCCCGUGACCAAACACUUGGUCACUUUGAGCUCAUUAUGAUGAUGCAUUACCGAGUGGGCUCAGAGAUACCUCUCCGUCAUACGGAGUGACAAAUCCCAGUCUCGAUCCGAGUCAACCCAACAAACACUUUUGGAGAUACCUGUAGUGCACCUUUAUAGUCACCCAGUUACGUUGUGACGUUUGGUACACCCAAAGCACUCUUACAGUAUUCGGGAGUUACACGAUCUCAUGGUCUAAGGAAGAGAUACUUGACAUUGAAAAAGCUCUAGCAAAACGAACUACACGAUCUUGUGCUAUGCUUAAGAUUGGGUCUUGUCCAUCACAUCAUUCUCCUAACGAUGUGAUCCCGUUGUCAAUGACAUCUAAUGUCCAUAGUCAGGAAACCAUGACUAUCUGUUGACCAACGAGCUAGUCAACUAGAGGCUCACUAGGGACAUGUUAUGGUCUAUGUAUUCACACGUGUAUUACGAUUUCCGGAUAAUACAAUUAUAGCAUGAAUAAAAGACAAUUAUCAUGAACAAGGAAAUAUAAUAAUAAUGCUUUUAUUAUUGCCUCUAGGGCAUAUUUCCAACAAAAACCACCAAGUUCAAGAAGGGCAAGGGUAAGAAGAACUUCAAGAAGGACGGCAAGGAUGUUGCUGCGCCCGGUAAGCCAGUUGCCGGGAAGAAGUCAAAGAAUGGACCCAAGCAUGAGACUGAGUGCUUUUAUUGCAAAGGAAAGGGUCACUGGAAGCGGAACUGCCCCAAAUACUUAGCGGACAAGAAGGCCGGCAACACCAAAGGUAUAUGUGAUAUACAUGUAAUUGAUGUGUACCUUACCAGUACUCGUAGUAACUCCUGGGUAUUUGAUACCGGUGCCGUUGCUCAUAUUUUUAACUCACAGCAGGAGCUGUGGAAUAAGCGGAGAUUGGCGAAGGACGAGGUGACGAUGCGCGUCGGGAAUGGUUCCAAGGUCGAUGUGAUCUCCGUCGGCACGCUGCCUCUACAUUUACCCACGGGAUUAGUUUUAAACCUCAAUAAUUGUUAUUUAGUGCCAAGUUUGAGCAUGAACAUUGUAUCUAGAUCUCGUUUGAUACGAGAUGGCUACUCAUUUAAAUCCGAGAAUAAUGGUUGUUCUAUUUAUAUGAGAGAUAUAUUUUAUGGUCAUGCCCCGAUGGUCAAUGGUUUAUUCUUAAUGAAUCUUGAACGUAAUGUUACACAUAUUCAUAGUGUGAAUACCAAAAGAUGUAAAGUUGAUAACGAUAGUCCCACAUACUUGUGGCACUACCGCCUUGGUCACAUUGGUGUCAAGCGCAUGAAGAAGCUCCAUGUUGAUGGACUUUUAGAGUCUCUCGAUUAUGAAUCAUUUGACAUGUGCGAACCAUGCCUCAUGGGCAAAAUGACCAAGACUCUGUUCUCCGAAACAAUGGAGCGAGCAACCAACUUAUUGGAAAUCAUACAUACCGAUGUGUGCGGUCCAAUGAGCGUUGAGGCUCGCGGAGGAUAUCGUUAUGUUCUCACUCUCACUGAUGACUUGAGUAGAUAUGGGUAUUUCUACUUAAUGAAACACAAGUCUGAGACCUUUGAAAAGUUCAAGGAAUUUCAGAAUGAGGUAGAGAAUCAACGUGACCGAAAGAUUAAGUUCCUACGAUCAGAUCGUGGAGGAGAAUAUUUAAGUCACUAGUUUGGUACGCACUUAAGGAAAUGUGGAAUCGUUUCACAACUCACGCCGCCUGGAACACCUCAGCGUAAUGGUGUGUCCGAACGUCGUAAUCGCACUCUAUUGGAUAUGGUGCGAUCUAUGAUGUCUCUUACUGAUUUACCGCUAUCAUUUUGGGGAUACGCUCUAGAGACAGCUACAUUCACUUUUAAUAGGGCUCCUCUAAGUCCGUUGAGACGACACCGUAUGAAUUAUGGUUUGGGAAGAAACCUAAGCUGUCGUUUCUAAAAGUUUGGGGAUGUGAUGCUUAUGUCAAGAAACUUCAACCUGAAAAGCUCGAACCCAAGUCGGAAAAAUACGUCUUCAUAGGAUACCCUAAGGAAACCAUUGGGUAUACCUUCUACUUAAGAUCCGAGGGCAAGAUCUUUGUUGCCAAGAACAGAUCCUUUCUAGAAAAAGUGUUUCUCUCAAAAGAAGUAAGUGGGAGGAAAGUAGAACUCGAUGAAGUACUGCCUCUUGAACCGGAAAGUAGUGCAACUCAGGAAAAUGUUCCUGUGGUGCCUACACCAACUGGAGAGGAAAUUAAUGAUGAUAAUCAAGGUACUUCGGAUCAAGUUGCUACUGAACUUCAUAGGUCCACAAGGACACGUUCCACACCAGAGUGGUAUGGCAACCCUGUCCUGGAAAUCAUGUUGUUAGACAACGGUGAACCUUCGAACUAUGAAGAAGCGAUGGCAGGCCCAGAUUCCAACAAAUGGCUUGAGGCCAUGCAAUCCGAGAUAGAAUCCAUGUAUGAAAACAAAGUAUGGACUUUGACAGACUUGCCCGAUGAACGGCGAGCGAUAGAAAACAAAUGGAUCUUUAAGAAGAAGACGGACGCGAAUGGUAAUAUUACCAUCUAUAAAGCUUGACUUGUCGCUAAGGGUUAUCGGCAAGUUCAAGGGGUUGACUACGAUGAGACUUUCUCUCCCAUAGCGAAGCUGAAGUCCGUCCGAAUCAUGUUAGCAAUUGCCGCAUACUAUGAUUAUGAUAUAUGGCAAAUGGACGUCAAAAGGGCAUUCCUUCACGGGCAUCUUAAGGAAGAACUGUAUAUGAUGCAGUCGGAGGGUUUUGUCGAUCCUAAGAAUGCUAACAAAGUAUGCAAGCUCCAGCGGUCCAUUUAUGGGCUGGUGCAAGCAUCUCGGAGUUGGAACAUUCGCUUUGAUGAGAUGAUCAAAGCGUUUGGGUUUAUGCAGACUUAUGGAGAAGCCUGCGUUUACAAGAAAGUGAGUGGGAGCUCUGUAGCAUUUCUCAUAUUAUAUGUAGAUGACAUACUCUUGAUGGGAAAUGAUAUAGAACUUUUGGACAGCAUUAAGGCCUACUUGAAUAAGUGUUUUUCAAUGAAGGACCUUGGAGAAGCUGCUUACAUAUUAGGCAUCAAGAUCUAUAGGGAUAGAUCGAGACGCCUCAUAGGUCUUUCACAAAGCACAUACCUUGAUAAGAUUUUGAAGAAGUUCAAAAUGGAUCAGUCCAAGAAAGGGUUCUUGCCUGUAUUGCAAGGUGUGAGAUUGAGCUCGGCUCAAUGCCCGACCACGGCAAAAGAUAAAGAAGAGAUGAGUGUCAUCCCCUAUGCUUCAGCCAUAGGAUCUAUUAUGUAUGCCAUGCUGUUACCAGACCUGAUGUAAACCUUGCCGUAAGUUUGGUAGGAAGGUACCAAAGUAAUCCCGGCAAGGAACACUGGACAGCGGUCAAGAAUAUCCUGAAGUACCUAAAAAGGACAAAGGACAUGUUUCUCGUUUAUGGAGGUGACGAAGAGCUCGUCGUAAAGGGUUACGUCGACGCUAGCUUCGACACAAAUCUGGAUGACUCUAAGUCACAAACCGGAUACGUGUAUAUGUUGAAUGGUGGAGCAGUAAGCUGGUGCAGCUGCAAGCAGAGCGUCGUGGCGGGAUCUACAUGUGAAGCGGAGUACAUGGCAGCCUCAGAGGCAGCGCAUGAAGCAAUUUGGUUGAAGGAGUUCAUCACCGACCUAGGAGUCAUACCCAAUGCAUCAGGGCCGAUCAAACUCUUCUGUGACAACACUGGAGCUAUUGCCCUUGCCAAGGAGCCCAGGUUUCACAAGAAGACCAGGCACAUCAAGCGUCGCUUCAACUCCAUUCAUGAAAAUGUUCAAGAUGGAGACAUAGAAAUUUGCAAAGUACAUACGGAUCUGAAUGUCGCAGAUCCCUUGACUAAACCUCUUUCGCGAGCAAAACAUGAUCAACACCACAACUCUAUGGGUGUUCGAUUCAUCACAAUGUAACUAGAUUAUAGACUCUAGUGCAAGUGGGAGACUGUUGGAAAUAUGCCCUAGAGGCAAUAAUAAAAGGAUUAUUAUUAUAUUUCCUUGUUCAUGAUAAUUGUCUUUAUUCAUGCUAUAAUUGUAUUAUCCGAAUAUCGUAAUACACGUGUGAAUACAUAGACCAUAAUAUGUCCCUAGUAAGCCUCUAGUUGACUAGCUCGUUGAUCAACAGAUAGUCAUGGUUUCCUGACUAUGGACAUUAGAUGUCGUUGAUAACGGGAUCACAUCAUUAGGAGAAUGGUAUGAUGGACAAGACCCAAUCCUAAGCAUAGCACAAGAUCAUGUAGUCCGUUUUGCUAGAGCUUUUCCAAUGUCAAGUAUCUUUUCCUUAGACCAUGAGAUCGUGUAAAUCCCGGAUACCAUAGGAGUGCUUUGGGUGUACCAACCAUCACAACGUAACUAGGUGACUAUAAAGGUGCACUACAGGUAUCUCCGAAAGUGUCUGUUGGGUUGACACGGAUCGAGACUGGGAUUUGUCACUCCUUAUGACGGAGAGGUAUCUUUGGGCCCACUCGGUAAUGCAUCAUCAUAAUGAGCUCAAAGUGACCAAGUGUCUGGUCACGGGAUCAUGCAUUACGGUACGAGUAAAGUGACUUGCCGGUAACGAGACUGAACGAGGUAUUGGGAUACCGACGAUCGAGUCUCGGGCAAGUAACAUACCGACUGACAAACGGAAUUGUAUACGGGGUUGAUUGAAUCCUCGACAUCGUUGUUCAUCCGAUGAGAUCAUCGAGGAGCAUGUGGGAGCCAACAUGGGUAUCCAGAUCCCGCUGUUGGUUAUUGACUGGAGAGCCGUCUCGGUCAUGUCUACGUGUCUCCCGAACCCGUAGGGUCUACACACUUAAGGUUCGGUGACGCUAGGGUUGUAGAGAUAUGAGUAUGCAGCAAACUGAAAGUUGUUCGGAGUCCCGGAUGAGAUCCCGGACAUCAUGAGGAGUUCCGGAAUGGUCCGGAGGUAAAGAAUAAUAUAUAGGAAGUGCAGUUUCGGCCAUCGGGAGAGUUUCCGGGGUCACCGGUAUUGUACCGGGACCACCGAAAGGGUCCCGGGGGUCCACCGGGUGGGGCCACCUAUCCCGGAGGGCCUCGUGGGCUGAAGUGGGGAGGGGACCAGCCCCUGGUGGGCUGGUGCGCCCCCCCCCCCCUGGGCCCCCCUCUGCGCCUAGGGUUGGGAGCCCUAGGGGAGGGGGCGCCUCAAGUUGCCUUGGGGGGCACUCCACCCCCUUGGCCGCCCCCCCCCCUAGAGAUCCCAUCUCUAGGGCUGGCGCCCCCCCUGGGGGCCUAUAUAAGGGAGGGGGGAGGGAGGGAAGCCGCACCCUGAAGUCUUGGCGCCUCCCUCUCCCCUGCUACACCUCUCCCUCUCGCAGAAGCUCGGUGAAGCUCUGCCGGAACUCUGCUGCAUCCACCACCACGCUGUCGUGCUGCUGGAUCUUCAUCAACCUCUCCCUCCUCCUUGCUGGAUCAAGGUGCGGGAGACGUCAUCCGCUCCGUACGUGUGUUGAACGCAGAGGUGCUGUCCGUUCGGCACUUGGUCAUCGGUGAUUUGGAUCACGACGAGUACGACUCCCUCAACCCCGUUCUCUGAAUGCUUCCGCUCGCGAUCUACAAAGGUAUGUGGAUGCACUCCUAUCACUCGUUGCUAGAUGAACUCAUAGAUGGAUCUUCGUGAAACCGUAGGAAAAUCUUUAUUUUCCGCAACGUUCCCCAACAUUAUCUGGCGUAGGUGGGGCAGCGGUGAGGGCCCCUCCGUUGUCAAUGGCUCACCCAGGCGGGGCGGCAGUUCCGUACGGUGGUGUGGCUCCAGUCGUGCGGUUUCUCGGUGGUAGACAUCACCCAUGGGCAUGCUGGAUGAUGGCGGAGGUCGAUCUGGUGGUCCCACUACAAGAAAUUAAUAUGUCAACUAGUGACCUUCUGUCAGUGACCCUGGAAGAAUUGGUCAUAGAUCUAUGACCAUUUGAGACCAAUUGGUCAAAAGCUGUUCGGGGGCUCCAAACCCUAAACUAUAACGACCAUUUUGGUCAAAAAGGUCGUAAUUUCCUUGCACGAAAUGGUCAUAAAGCAGAUAGCACUGGUUCGCUGCCUUAUUUCUAGCUGAUCGUGAGCAAUAUAGAUGGUCAUAACCUUGUAAAUUGUGGUGGGUUGCUAUGACUAGGCGCCACCUCAUCAGUUUUGCCUAUGUGGCAUGUCCAUGUGGCAGUUUUUGCCCUAGGUUGUGAAGCAACCUAUAUUUCUGUCAUUCCCAAAAUUCCCCAAAAAAUCUCAUAAAUUCUUUGGGUCAUAUCUUCGUCAAAUAUGUAAGAAACCUUCCUUGAGUAGUUCAAAAAUAAUUCAAAAAUAUUAAUUUUCCUAUUCUAUUCAGGAAACACUUUGUGAAGGAAGUACCACUUUGGCAUGUCCAAAUGGUAUCCAUUUUCUAUAGUGCUUUCAUAUGCCCAAAUAACCAUCUUCCACCAAAUGCCAGCUCAAUCCAUUCAUUAUUUUGAGCCCAGCUUCAACAUUCGUAUUUAUGUCCAGUGUGGUACUUUGCAAAGCAAGUACCACCUAGGCUCCUCCUUUUGAGCUGAAAAUUUGUGAAGAGGGUCUUCUUAGUAACUGAUCAUCCUCAGCCAAAACUUACGCCCAUUAGCCAUGUGCAUUUCCCGUACCGCUAAUCAAACACUUGGCUGCUUAUUCAUGUUUGAGCAUCGAUCGGUCUCCUCGUGAGAAUCUUAUGUUGUGAUUUUCUUCCUAGCACCUACCUGGUGAGUGCCCAACCCAAUAGACAUGUCUAGGCCGCCUAGAACACAUGGCAACGCCACGGUCACGUGAUGACCACGCGGCGGGCAUGCGAGUUUACGCGCUCUGGAGUUGGGGCCCUCGGCCACCAUCCAAACCUCGACGUAUCGCCACCAAACCAUGUAUUUAUGAUUAAAUAGGUACUUAUGUAACUAGAAAUGAUUUUUGGAAAAAAUUAGCAAACUAUGAGGCAGCUGUAGUUCAAAUUUGACCCGCAUCCUGCUGAAUCGGUGGGAAUUUGUCUUUUUCACCAGAGGUGGAUCAAAACUUUUGACACCUAACCAUUUUGUCAAUUGUGCAUUAAAUAUGGCCUAGUAUUUUAUAAAAUUGAUUAGGUCCAAUUUUGCAACAAAUAUAUGGUAGGUCCUUCACAAAAAAACUCAUUUCGGGCACUCGGAAAAUGGAAAAUGAAUUUUUCGUGCAAAGAAAAUAAAAACUCCCUUAGGCAACAUUGUUUGGAAUUCCAAGAUGCACCCUUGUGCACAAUAUGAGAUCAUUUGAACAAACUAUGCCAUGAAUGUGGCCAUAAGAUUGAUCAUUUUGGCUUGAAAGCCAUGAAUCUUCACACAUGAUAGCUCGUUUCUGAGAACACUUUUUUAAAAUAAUUGUCGUAUUACAAGUUUAUUAUUUUUCCUGGAAACUUGGUCACAUAUAAUGACACAAUGCGACGGUUUUCAAUUUUUUUGAUUUUUUUUAUUUUUUUAUGCCCGUUUCAAAAUGCGGUCAAAACGACGGGCUUAACAGUUCCUAGCUAGUGGUUGAAUCUUGGAAAAAAUUUGAUGUUUCUCUGAUUAAAUAGAUACUUAUAUACCUAGAAAUGAUAUUUGGAAAAAAUAAAGAGCAAACUAUAAGGUAGACACAGUUCAAAUUUGACCCGCUUCCAACUGAAUCAGAGGGAAUUUGUCUUUUUCAUGAGAGGUGGAUCAAAAAAUUUGACACCCAACCAUUUUGUCAAUUGUCCAUUAUAUAUGGCCUAGUAUUUUAUAAAAUUGAUUAGGUCCAAUUUUGCAACAAAUAUAUGGUAGGUCCUUCACAAAAAAAACUCAUUUUGGGCACUCGGAAAACGGAAAAUGAAUUUUCCGUGCAAAGAAAAUAAAAACUCCCUUAGGCAACAUUGUUUAGAAUUCCAAGAUGCACCCUUGUGGAAAAUAUGAGAUGAUUUGAACAAACUAUGCUAUGAAUGUGGCCAUAAGAUUGAUCAUUUUGGCUUGAAAGCCAUGAAUCUUCACACAUGAUAGCUCAAGAACACUUUUUUAAAAUAAUUGUCGUAUUACAAGUUUAUUAUUUUUCCUGGAAACUUGGUCACAUAUAAUCACACAAUGCGAAGGUUUUCAAUUUUUUUGAUUUUUUUUGAAUUUUUUAUGCCCGUUUCAAAAUGCGGUCAAAACGACGGGCUUGACAGUUCCUAGCUAGUGGUUGAAUGUUGGGAAAAAAUUGAUGUUUCUAUGAUUAAAUAGAUACUUAUGUACCUAGAAAUGAUUUUUGGAAAAAAUAAAGAGCAAACUAUGAGGUAGACAUAGUUCAAAUUUGACCCGCUUCCAGCUGAAUCGGCGGGAAUUUGUCUUUUUCACGAGAGGUGGAUCAAAACUUUUGUCACCCAACCAUUUGGUAAAUUGUCCGUUAUAUAUGGCCUAGUAUUUUAUAAAAUUAAUUUGGUCCAAUUUUGCAAUAAAUAUAUUAUAGGUCCUUCACAAAAAAUACUCAUUUUAGCCACUCGGAAAAUGGAAAAUGAAUUUUUCGUGGAAAGAAAAUGAAAACUCCCAUAGGCAACAUUGUUUGAAAUUCUAAGAUGCACCCUUGUGCACAAUGUGAGAUCAUUUGAACAAACUAUGCCAUGAAUGUGGCCAUAAGAUUGAUCAUUUGGCUUGAAAGCCAUGAAUCUUCACACAUGAUAGCUCGUUUCUGAGAACACUUUUUUUAAAAUAAUUGUCGUAUUAUAAGUUUAUUAUUUUUCCUGGAAACUUGGUCACAUAUAAUGACACAAUGCGAACGUUUUCAAUUUUUUUGAUUUUUUUUGAAUUUUUUAUGCCUGCUUCAAAAUGCGGUCAAAACGACGGGCUUGACAGUUCCUAGCUAGUGGUUGAUUCUUGGAAAACCUUUGAUGUUUUUCUGAUUAAAAAUAGAUACUUAUGUACCUAGAAAUGAUUUUUGGAAAAAAUAAAGAGCAAACUAUGAGGUAGACACAGUUCAAAUUUGACCCGCUUCCAGCUGAAUCGACGGAAAUUUGUCUUUUUCACGAGAGGUGGAUCAAAACUUUUGACACCCAACCAUUAGGUCAAUUGUCCGUUAUAUAUGGCCUAGUAUUUUAUAAAAUUGAUUUUGUCCAAUUUUGUAAUAAAUAUAUUGUAGGUCCUUCACAAAAAAUACUCAUUUCAGCCACUCGGAAAAUGGAAAAUGGAUUUUUCGUGGAAAGAAAACGAAAACUCCCUUAGGCAACAUUGUUUGGAAUUCUAAGAUGCACCCUUGUGCACAAUAUGAGAUCAUUUGAACAAACUAUGCCAUGAAUGUGGCCAUAAGAUUGAUCAUUUGGCUUGAAAGCCAUGAAUCUUCACACAUGAUAGCUCGUUUCUGAGAAUACUUUUUUAAAACAAUUGUCGUAUUACAAGUUUAUUAUUUUUCCUGGAGACUUGGUCACAUAUAAUGACACAAUGUGAAGAUUUUCCAAAUUUUUUAUUUUUUUUUAUUUUUUUCAUGCUGGUUUCAAAAUGCGGUUAAAACGGCGGGCUUGAUCGUUCCUAGCUAGUGGUUGAUUCUUGGAAUUUUUUUGGUAUUUCUCUGAUUAAGUAGAUACUUAUGAACCUAGAAAUGAUUUUUGGAAAAAAUAAAGAGCAAACUAUGAGGCAGCUACAGUUCAAAUUUGACCCGUUUCCUACUGAAUCGGCGAAAAUUUGUCUUUUUCAGCAGAGGUGGAAUAAAGCUUUUAACACCCAACCAUUUGGUCAACUGAACAUUAAAUAUGACCUAAGAUUUUAUAAAAUUGAUGUGGCCCAAAUUGGCAACAAAUAUUUGCUAUGUUCUUCAUAAAAAAUCAUUUUGGGCACUCGAAAAGUAAUUCUCUUACAGAAAACUUAUUUCUGAGAACACUUCUUUAUGAUAUUUGCAUUAUUCAAAGUUUGUUAUUCUUACUGAAAAGUAGGUCACACUUGGAGACACAAUGCAAAGUUUUUUGAUUUCUAUUUGUUUUUAUAAAUUUUCUAGGCCGUCAAAUAGCAGACAUGUUUUAACAUCUUAUUUUGAAUCGAUUAUGACCAAUUUAAAUGGUCUUAAAAUCAUCAAAGGGGUACUACAUUUUGAUUGGUCCAAAACCAUCUCACACGGAUCAUGGAUUAGCACUGUCGGAUGCGCCCGGNNNNNNNNNNNNNNNNNNNNNNNNNNNNNNNNNNNNNNNNNNNNNNNNNNNNNNNNNNNNNNNNNNNNNNNNNNNNNNNNNNNNNNNNNNNNNNNNNNNNNNNNNNNNNNNNNNNNNNNNNNNNNNNNNNNNNNNNNNNNNNNNNNNNNNNNNNNNNNNNNNNNNNNNNNNNNNNNNNNNNNNNNNNNNNNNNNNNNNNNNNNNNNNNNNNNNNNNNNNNNNNNNNNNNNNNNNNNNNNNNNNNNNNNNNNNNNNNNNNNNNNNNNNNNNNNNNNNNNNNNNNNNNNNNNNNNNNNNNNNNNNNNNNNNNNNNNNNNNNNNNNNNNNNNNNNNNNNNNNNNNNNNNNNNNNNNNNNNNNNNNNNNNNNNNNNNNNNNNNNNNNNNNNNNNNCUCCCGGUCCCACCCACCGAAGCGAUCCCGAUCCAGUCCAGAUCAAGAGAGAGCAAGCCCCCUCCCGCGAUUCCCACCACCGCCAACCCCCCCACCAUCGCCGACCUCGUCUCCGCCACGCACCCUCUCCCCUAGCCUUCACCCCCUAGAUCCACCAGUCCAGGCACGGCCAUGGCAUCACGGCCGACUUUCUUGCUGGCGCGUGCGUGCGUGCUUCACACUGGCCACGGGCCUCCGGCAAUCAGGACGGCGACAACAUCAACGGGAUCAUCGGGUCUCCGGUGGCUCGUGCCCCUCGCGCAACUGUUCCCCUCUUCCCCUCCCGCCAUGCGCUCCAGAUCCGGCCCUAACGAAGCCAUGGUGAGUCCCGUCGCGGCGUCUGGCCACCCGGCGACGGUGGGGAUCCGCUGCUGCAGCGCCUCCGCACGGGGACCUGCGAGGCCGCGCCAUGGUUGCGGGACGCCUCCAGGAACUCGGCCCGCGACCUGCUCGCCUGGACCAAGUAGGGCCGCGGCCUCCGUGCCAUCCUCGUCAUCUCGGUGAGCUUGCCCCUGCGCGCACCCUAAUUUCCUUUUCUGAUCCGUCCCAGACACUGUUUAACACCGUAGCAACUGAUGCACUUGAGGUCCUAGAACCGCCGCCUCUUUCCCGCUAGGGUUUGCGUCGUCUGGGUCCCCGGCCUGUUUUCGAGGGAUCCGUGCCUCUAGCGGGGCCUAGGGUUCGCGGAACCCGCCCUGGCUGUAGCUGCUGCUAGAUCCACUGGCGUUAAACCCUUGCGUGAUUAGAUCUGUAGAGCUAUUUAUUACGGUGGUGGCUUCCUGAAUUUGUGAAUUGCGUCGGAGUGUGAUCUUGCAGUGCCGUUUGAGGAGGAUGACAAGGACCCAAGGAUCUGGUUCCUCGAUCAUAAUUACCAUGAGUCUAUGUUCUCCAUGUUUAAGAGGAUCAACGGUAUGUUGUUUUAGAAUUUUUAUUAGAUAUGCUUGGACUUGCCAUGUGUAGUUGUUUCUGUUGAAUACUGAUGAGAUGUUUUGGAUGCAGCCAAGGAGCAUGUCGUUGGCUGGUACACACUGGUCCAAAACUGAAGGAGAACGACUUGGAUGUUCAUGCAUUGUUUACCAAGUAUGAUUCUGCUCUACAACCAUUUAUCCUACAGUAAUUUAGAAGCUCUUCUCGGUUUGUACACAAUUAUUCGGUACAAUUACUUGCAACUUAUACAUACGGACCAAUGUUGGAAUGCAAGCGUGAACUCUUCAUGGAGGCUAGAUGUUCAUGGAGGCAAGCGUGAAUAUCGCCGUCACGCCCUCCUUCCCUUGCUUCCGGCAUUUCCCCUGGAUUCAGGUACGCAUCACGCCGGCUCUUCCUUGCUGCCUCCCUGUUCUGGGCUAGCCUUCUCAGCGUCUGCAUUUCAUCAAUUACCAGAAAUUGAGUUGCAUGUCCAACACAAUCACAGAAAGAAACACUAGCAGCAUUACUGCCUAUGCUUGAUUUCUGCAGUAAACAUGUUAUCUGAAAAUCUGUAAUGAUGUUAACUGAUGUGAGUUUGUGCACUUGAUGUUUUAUACUUGGAAAACAAAUGAACUUGUUUUGGUUAUAUCUCUCCCUGUUAAUUAUGGGUGAUUUCCUUCUUGCAAAUUAUAUAUGUUCUAUCUUGAGCUAUCUCUCUUCUUGGUAAUAAAAGUAUGUGCAUUGGUUGAUAUUUAGUAUUCGUAUGUCUAGUUCACGAUGAUGGUCACUUGCGGCAGAGGCACCGAUAUUUUGGUGUCUAGAUAUUCGUCGCCGAUAACUAAGCACGCAAUGCUUGUAUAUACCCAGUUUUUACUGCCUAGUAGUGAGCACACCUAGCCCCAGUCACCUACUUCAAUCAAAGAAACUAAGAAUGUUCAUAGUAAUUUGAAAAGUAUCUCAUGCUUGAUGCUCAUACACUUGCAUACACAUGCCUCCUCCUCCUCUUCCUCCUCUCGUCUCCCACAAUCUAAUGUGUGUGUGCAUUUUUUUUGUAGGUUCAUGAAGAGGCCAAUCUGGUGUUGUGAAAGAAGGGGGCUGGCCAUGGAGAAGAUCCCGUGGCAAGCUCCUCAGGGGUAGGUUAUCCCACAGAUCUCCUCAAUUGGGAUGUGAAGAUGCAAAACUUCUGUUUGUUCGGGAGCUGCUUUAUUAUAUCAAAUGCACCAGAUUCUUACUAUUUCUCUUAUGAUCUUCUGGCUGGGCUAGAGAAAAAACAGAGUUGCAUAUGAUUUCUAGGUACUAGUAGUCUAAAAUGUUGGCCUAUCUAGUGUACUAUAGGAACCUGUUGCAAUCCCCUCUAGAUGGAGGAUUAGUUCAGGUGUUAUGCAACCAAUAACCCUUCAUAUAUACCGCAUGCUGUUGUUUACUAAAACCAAAUAAAUUAUCUGCAUGAAACAGAGCUUAAAAUUUGCGACGAAUAUCACCAUACUAGUAUGAGGUUCCUUUUGCAUUUCUCUGUUUGUGCUGCUAUUACUAUGACAUGCAUUGUCUGUGUUUAAAUUUUGUUUGCUGCUUUAGAUCACUAAGGAUUUUUGGUACCUUUUUAUGUCUUGUGUAGUAGCGCUAAAAUCUUACAGCAAAAUACAUCUUUAACCGUAUAUGAGAUUAGCAAGGAAUUAUAUGGUUUGAAUUUUGGCGCUGGCCUUGUUCUCAGUUAUUUUGUAGACUGCUUUCAAUGGGGGAAGAAGCUUAGAGAACUUCAAUUAAAUAUAAGAAUUAUCCAUGAUUUCAUUGCUAUGAAGGUGAUCGAGUUGGUGUUCUAUACCAGUUCCAUAUUUACUUUGAUGGUUCUUGAUACGUGAACUAUUUCAUAGGGCAUAGUUAUCCAUGUUGCAUUCUAAUUCCUUAUUUGACUAGAUGCUUCAAAUGAUGAGGCUAGUUGAUUAUCCAUGUUGCAUGUAACACUACGGGAAUCAGCUAAUUUGCCGUCAGGGGAGCUCUUUGCCGUCAGCUUUUCAUCGGAACAGACGGCAAAGACCACUUUUGCCAUCAGUUACUGACGGCAAAGAAUGGCUAACGGCAAAGACAUACUUUGCCGUCUGUAAAAAAACACAGACGGCAAAGACUCUUUGCCGUCUACAUUUUUUAUUUAGAGAUGGCAAAGUGCUCACUUUGCCGUCUGUAAAAAAAAUCGAAGACGGCAAAAAUAUUUACCAUCUGUGUUUUUUUACAGACGGCAAAGUGCUACUUUGCCAUCUGUAAAAAGCCCGCAGACGGCAAAGAAGAAACACAGCCCACGUAUCAAUCACGCGGAUCAGUGAUAUGGCAAAAUCUGGUCCACACAUCCCUACAAUGCAAAACCCACUCGCCCCACGCCCCGAUGCCCACGCCCCCACCACUCUCUCUCUCUCUCUCCACCCCCAUCACGAUCCUUAUCCUCCUGACAACCCACCCACCCCCAUCACGAUCUCUCUCUGCUCUCGAUCUAGAGAACACAGCCACCACCUCGCCUGUCGGCCAUGCCCUCGCCGACCACCACCUCUCCUGCCGGCUCCGGCCUCGCCGGCCAGCACAUCGACCGCCCGCCGUCCUCGGGCCUUCCCUCUUGGCCUCCAGGUCCAGCGGCCCCGUUCCCCUUGGCCCUCGCCGACCGCCGGCCUGGCGCCAUCACCACGGUCAACCUCCACGCCCCGUUCCCCGUCGCCCCAGCCGGCCGCCUGCGCCGUUCCCCGUCACCCCAGCCGGCCGUCGGCGCUGUUCCCAGUCGCCCCAGCCGGCCGCCUGCGCCAUUCCCCGUCACCCCAGCCGGCCGCCGGCGUCAUUCCCUGUCACCCCCGCCCGCCGCGGCCCCUUUUGUCUUCACCACCGGUGCCACCGGGCCCGACCUCGUCCCCCUUCGCCACCGCAGGCCGCUAGCCCCGACCAGUCGCCCCACCUCCACCGGCCCCGGCCCUCGAUGCUGCACCAUCACCCGGAUGAGGUUGGCAAGCUCCAGCGCGGUGGCAGAUGGCUGGGGCGACGGGGAACGGGGUGCGAAGGCAUGCUGGGGCUACUCGGGCAUCCAUGUUUGCCUCAGUUCUCUUGUAAUCUGUGUAAUUCGUCUGUGUGUAUUGUGUGUAAUUUAUUGGUUUGUAAUCUGUUCAUCUUGUGAAAUAGAGCAGUUUUAUAUUGUGAAAUUCAUUCGGUGGUCGUUGAUUCUUGGAACAACAAGUGUUGGAUACUGUGGUGUUCGUGGUCUGUUCUUUCAUUUUUUUAAAUAUAAAAAAUUCUUUGCCGUCUGUGAUUUAGGAAGAAGACGACAAAGACAGAUCCUGGCUGACGGCGAAUACACUUUUCUUUGCCGUAUGUUAUUUAUACGGUUGAAGGCAAAACUUUAGUUUAGCGGACGGCAAAAUCUUUGCCGUUUGGUCGAUGAAAAGUAGACGGCAAAGUACUCUUUACCGACUAGGCUUUGUCGUCUAUGUUUGCCAGUUGACGGCAAAAUCUUUGCCGUCUGUAUUACAGCCUUUGCCGUCUGUACUUGCAUGACGGCAAACUACCUGAUUCCUGUAGUGUAAAUGGGUUGAGUAGAUAGAAUUGGAGUGAGCAGAUCACUAUAGGACUAAGGAAAAAUCAGAAAGUAUGUGUAGGAAAAUAUCAUCGUUCUUGCUCACUUUGCAAAAAUGACGAGUACUAGAAAUUGUUCCCUUUCACUAAUAUUUGCUGUUUGCUGAUGGUUAUACGUCUUUUGCUUGAUCUAUUAUGAUUCAUGCACACAGGUUGGCUAGAAAUAGCCCUGGUUAUAGAUAUUUUUUAUUAUUUUAUACAUUAAUGUAUGUCGUUAUUAUUUUUACGUGUGAUGCUUUCAGCCUGUUUUACUGUUCCCUCCUCGAUUGAUCUAUUCAUGUAAUGUUCUGUUCUUAUAGGAAGGUAAGUUGUCGCACCUGGAGAACGAGCAAUGAAGACAUUGUUAGGACAGUACCAGAUGUGCUCCUACGUGUUCAACAAUGUUAUGUAGUAGUGAGAUAAGGCAAAUUAUGUAUGCAUUGUUAGGACAGUACCAGAUGUGCUCCUACGUGUUAAACAAUUCCUGUGUAAUGAAAUGUUGUAUUCCCUGUGUACAUGUUGCUUUAAUGCCAGAUUGUGAAAAUUACUCAAUUGCCAUGAUAGUACCGGGCCUGAAUAGGCCAUGACCCAGAAAUAAAUGUGGUACAAACGUGGUAUGGGGUGAAAAGGCCAUGGCCCAAACAGGACGAAAACUAAUAAGAAAUGCAUUAUAAGAGGCCAUGGGCCAGAAAUAAAAAGGCUAAAAUGUGGGCUUGGCCCAUGUAGUCGACCAAAUUAAUAGGGAAAAAAUAUUCUAAAAAGGCUGAAUUGUUGGGCUAGGCCCAUGCAGAACACCUAAUUGGACCGGGCUGAAUCUUAGCAACGACCAAUUCAAUUGGUCACAAUUUUGCCACGUCAGCUUGCCACGUUGGAUCCGACAUGGCCUGGGCAGACAAUCAUUGACCAAAACAAAAGGUCAUGGGUUCAACGACCUUCUGUUUUGGUCGUAAACGUCUACGACCUUAUCCCGAAGAAGGUCGUUAAUUUCAGUUUACGACUGCCAGCUUUUGACCUUCUGUUUUUGGUCACAAAAAGGUCACAAAUGAAAAAUAAUGACCAUUCAUUGACCAAUAGUCAAGGUCACAAGAUGACAUAUUUCUUGUAGUGUCCAGCCAGGGAUGGGCGUGAAUUUGCCAGCGAAAACUUGGUUCGGCCUUGGCCAAAACUAUCAAUGUUGGCACCCACGGGCGUCGUUACCUCAUUGCGGGCUUUAUGGGGUGAUUCGUGUUCCCUGUGUGCCUCGAGGGAAACACCAGAUUUGGGCUUUCCAUAUCGAAUGAUGGCGAGGUUCCUGCGUCGUCGCCCCCAUGGGGGCAUCAUUGCUACUUGUGAGCUGCAUUGGGAUUUCCCCGAAGAGGAGAGGAUGAAACAGUACAAUAGAGAUAAGUAUUUCCCUUAGUUAAGAACCAAUGUGAUUAAUCCAGUAGGAGAACCACACAGAACCUCGUUAGUAGCACCUGCGCACACAAAAGCAAAUACUUACAUCCAACGCAAACAAGGGGGUUGUCAAUCCCCUCAAUAGUUACUUACAAGUAAUAAAUCUUGUAGUGGUAGAUAAUAAAGUAAAUUAUAAAACAAAAUAAAAGAAAUAAAAUUGCAACAAGAUAUUUUUGUGUUUUUAUAUAUGAUAAAAGUAGACCCGGGGCCACAUAUUUCACUAGAGACACCUCUCUCGAGCACAUAGCAUAUGGUGAAUGAACAUAUUAUUGUUGGGCAAUUGAUAGAAAAACGCAGAGUUAUGACGAUAUUCAAGUCAAAGAUCAUGUAUAUAGGCAUCACGUCUAAGACAAGUAGACCAACUCCUGCCUGCAUCUAUUACUAUUACUCCACCGAUUGACCAAUAUCCAGAUUGCAUCUAUGGUAUUAAGUAUAAAACAAAGUAACGCCUUAAACAGGAUGACAAGAUGAAAACGAAGUAAACCCAAUCAAUAUAAAUAAACCUUGUCGUUUUAACCUUAAUGGCGAUAAUACAAAUACGUGUCUUGUCCCUUUCUGUCACUGGGAUAUAGAGCACCACAAGAUUGAACACAUCACAAAGCACCUCUCCUAUUGCAAGAUAAAUCAAUCUCAUGAUCAUUAUCAUUAGCUUCCUCACUUAGUUGGUGUAGGCAUCACUGGAACUGAUUUCUGUGAUGAACUACUUUCCAAUUCGGGAGAAGGUACAAUUACCUUAUCAAGUUCUAUUUUCCACCCACUCACUUCUUUCGAGAGAAACUCCUUCUCUAGAAAGGAUCCAUUCUUAGCAACAAAUAUCGUGCCUUCGGAUCUGUGAUAGAAGGUGUACCCAACAGUCUCCUUUGGGUAUCCUAUGAAGAUACAUUUCUCCGAUUUGGAUUCGAUCUUAUCAGGUCGAAACUUUUUCACAUGAGCAUCGCAGCCCCAAACUUUAAGAAACGACAACUUAGGUUUCUUGCCACUACAAGAAAUAUGGCCAAUUAUGACUCCCCAUUUUUGUCGUUAAUUUGUCAUUGCUUUCGUUUAUUGACCUUUUUUUGACCAAAUUCGGAAGGUUAAUAGUUGGCCGUCAAGAACGAACAAAUGUGACCUUUUCCAGAAUUUUCGUCAUGGCCACCCUUGACCAAAAUUUAGGUCGUUAAAUCUUUGACCAAAAUUAUGGUCAUUACUAAUGAGCCUAGACCACAUAGGAUCUGAUGUGGCCGAGCCAACAUGGCACAUGCGAUGACACGGAUGCCAUGUAGGAUCGGUCCAAAUCAGUUGUUUUAAUGGGCUGGGCCCAAUAAUUCAGCCCACUUUUAAAUUUACUUUUGGGCAAUAAGCAUGAGCCAAGCCCAACAGAUCAGUUCUUGGGCUGAGUUGUGCAACCCAUUUAUCUAAUCCAUCAUUAAUUGGGCCAGCCCUUUUAUCUACCCAACAAAAACAUUUUGUUUUUUUCUGUCAAAGGGCCUUGAAACGGUCCAGCCCACUAACACAAUUUAGUAUUUUCACUCCAGCCCUUAUUGAAGGGUGACCAACAACAACCAACAGUAUCUCAAAAAGAAAAAUACAUUGCACAAUUUGGCAGUCAACCAACACAGGAGAAUAUAAUGAAAAUAAUAAUAUAAUUCACCAGGAUUUCAAUAACUUAGGCCCAGCAUUAUCUUUACACCACAGGUUCAUAAGAUGCACCAAACAAAAUAACACUCAUAAUAUGGCCUCCAUAUUGUGCACUAGUAACCAGUAACAUAAGAUGGCACCAACCAAAACAACACAACUAGUGAAGGAAUGUGCUGGAGGGACAUUCUUUAGUGAGAAUAUCAGCAACAAUAGCAGCAUCACUCUUUGGUUCUCAACCUUUUGGUACCUCUUGUUCCAUAGCACUUUCCAUGUCAGCCUGACACUUAAAGAAAGAUGCACACAUGAGCAGAGUAUUAUGUCCAUCAAUAUACUGCAGUUGGUUCUGAAUGACUAGGAAACUUUAUAAGAAAACUAUUCAAGAAUAGAUUUCCUAGUAGCAGCAAUUUAAGAAGAUAACAUCAUAAUACUAAUACAACACCUGACAUUUAAAAAAAAGAAUGACUAGGAAACUUUAUAAGAAAACUAUUCAAGAAUAGAUUUCCUAGUAGCAGCAAUUUAGGAAGAUAACAUCAUAAUACUAAUACAACACCUGACAUUUAAAAAAAGAUGGGAAAAUCUAUACUUCACACAACGCACACCAGCGUCUCAUGCGGCGGCUACCGUGCGCGGCUAGCUACAGUGCGGUGCCCUGUUUGCUCAAUACAGACUAGCAGUUAUUGCUACAUGGGCUGGACAACACAUGCUUUUGUAUAUCCAGACUACAUGCUACUAAUUAAGUACUAGUUAUUUGAAAAGUUUGUAGCAGACAAGCAGAACAAAUCUUACUUGCUAAUUAUUUUUGGCAAGUUACUGUUAGCUACAUGAAAUAAGCAUGGCACAAGGUUUACUAAACAGGUGAGAAUGCGAAACAAACCAUUGUAGAAAUUUAAAUCGAGCACGUAACUUAAAUGGGAACAUGGAGCAGAGAAGAACUUACUAUGUUUCAGGAGCGCAUAUGUUGUUUCUUUAGUAUAGUAUACAGUAUCAAAUAAACUGCCGCAAGUCCUAGACAUUUCAUUCAGAUCAUAUAUGAAAUGACACGAGUUUCUCCGUUCUAAAAGCUGGGAAGAUAGAUGCUUCAGGCAAUCACUAGACAAUUAAUCGAAGAGCAUACAACGCCCUCUCUUAAUUACCAGUGUCCAACGACAAAGUAAUGCCUGCUGGACUACUAUAGGAACUGAAAUUGCUUGUAUACUAUCGCAUUUCCAGUACCAAAAAUGAAUGUGCAAUGCGAUUAGGAAAGGGAAUAUAGCAGCCAUGCAACAGAGGACCGGGACAAACAAAAAAGCUAUAAUAAAACAGGA